UAGAACGUCGGUAAUGACAAUAUAAAGAAAAGAGAAAUAAAAAUAAAGAACACAUAGAUUUUUACGUGGAAACCCUUUCGGGAAAAAAACCACGGGUAGAGGAGAAAAAAAUUCACUGUGUCGAAUUCGAAUGAUUACAAGAGGAAUUUCGACUACAUUUAUUUAUAGGUUAAAAAAAACUUAAUUCUAAUCAAAGUCAAAUAUAUUAUGUUAAUAAAUGUUAAAUAUAUUAUACUCAUAAAUACUAAAUCUUCUAGCAAGAAGAUAUAUUUUGUUUAACUUGACUUGUAAGCAAUCUCUUAGAAUUUGGGUCACACAACUCUAACACAACCCAUAAAAAAAUUUGUACAAAAAAUUAGAGAAGGCAAUGAGGGUCAACAAACUCAAUGGUGGAUGGAUUCAAGGAUGAAAGGAAUUAGGCAAGAAAGCACCAUUUUCCCCCUACCUUUUAUAGUUAUUAAAUCGUUAGCACCGUAUAAAAACAUUCCACCUAGAGUAGUUGUUAAUAUAAAUAACGAAAACUCUACUAUAGUCAUUUUUGUACCUUCAAUGUACUCUAUGGAUAGAGGAAUACAUAGAGUUGAACAUACUAAAAUAAUAAAUUGAAAGAUUUCGUUGAAAUUGUUCAUUUAAAAAUUUCCUGAAAAGCUAAUCAUAGGUUCUUCUCUCCAUUGGAACAAUAGGAUCGUUAUGCACAUUACAAAACUUGUUGAAGAGAUGAAAUAUAACCAAUGUAUAUCUUUUUUAUCAGAGGUUGAAUCGAUCAUUAGAAGAUGAAUUAGGCCAAAAAUUAGAAUACAUUCUAGGAAAAUAAAACUUCUGUCGAAGAGAAGAAAAUGAAAGGCUUUCAUAAAAAUUAUCGUAGAAUCGAGAAUGAAGUUUUCAUUCUGUACAUGCCAGAUCAUCAAUUAGUAACUGCAUCCAAUCUCCAAAAAAAUCACAAUUGUUUCAAACUUUCUAUUUUUAGAAUGGGAAUAUUUACGGAAUCCCGAUUAAUAGGAUCAAACCUUAUUCCAUGGUAUUUACAUGAAAUUCCUCUUUCUUAUUCUUAAGCAAGUCCCCAAGAGAGCUUAGUUGAUCCAUGAUUUAUGUUUCAUCUUUCGUUUGCUUUUCGUUUAUUUCGAGAAAUAUAUCAAUCAAUUCCGAUAUUGCUUUAUAACUCCUUUACAAAUUGUAAGAUUACAAAAUUAAUAUAUUAAUAAAAUUGUGUUUUAACUCUCAAACUUAUCACUUUCAAGAAAAAUUUUGACUUUCAAUUCUACCAAUAUCCAAUCUCUAGAGGGGGAUUGCCACCAUUUUUAAUUUCAUUGAAAAAUAUUGACAAUGGACUGAUUGUUCAAGUCGUAGCAAUUUGUAUCAUACCCGACAAGUCAAGUGAGGUACACAAAAUUUUAAGUAAAAUUCGAAAACAAAAGCACUUGAAUAUAAUACAAACAAUUCAUCAAUUGAACCUAUAAAAGAAAAUGGAUCAAUUAAACCGACCCUUUAUCAGUGUAUUAUCUAUAAUUUUUAGAUUCCUCAUUGGCCUAUGGCAUUUAUUUAUCAAUUAAUCCUCCACCUAAUAAAACAAUGUUAUAUGAAGUCCAAACUUUAAUGCCCCUCUCAUUUCUUUUGUAUUCAUAUGCCUAAAUCAACUUUGAUAAUCUCAAAAUAUAAAUUAAUCCCAAUAUUGUUGUCUCUAAUUUCUUGUGUUCGUGGGUCUAUGUAUGCCUUGACAACCUCAAAAAAAUUAUUAUUUUUGUCCAAGUCCUGUUUUCCUGGUCAAUACAAUAUGCACUGUCAAGAUAAGGUCUAAGUAGACAAACCCUUGUAUACAAUUGGCAGAUUAAAGCAUAUAAUUACAAAGGUUUGAAAAGAACUAUAUCAUAGUUUUUGUCAUUCUCAGUGGUGAAUAAUAAAUAAUAAUUAACUAUUUGUCCUUAAUUCAAUGCCCCUUAAUUCAAGUCUCGGGUUCAAGUCUUGUGGGUGAAGAAGAUAAUUUUAAGAGAGCUUUGUACCCCAUUUAGAGAUCUAAUAUUCUAGCUCGACUCAAAUUUUAGUUGAAACCCAACGUAAUCUCCAUAGAAAAUUAUUAAAUUCUGUCAUCAAUCCCUAUAUUAUGCAUAAAUUAUAGAUUUAGUCUUUGUACUUUAAUUUGGUCAUUUUUAGUCCUUGUACUUUAUGAAUUUUAAAAUUUCAAUCCUAAGCAAAAGUUCUGCUAUUUCCAAAAUUUGAUGUAACAAACAUAUUAUCGUAUAUAUAAUAUCACGUCAGCUUGCUAUUUCUACGUAUUAUUUAUAAAAAAAAAAGUCAGUUAUGAAUUUAAAUUGUUAUUUAUAUCAAGAUUGAAAUUUCAAAAAAAAAUCAAGGACUAAUAAUGAUCCAAUUCAAUCUUAGGCACAGUACAAGGACAAGCAUAAAAAAUUAACCAAACAAUUUUAACUUCUACAAAAUAUAGAGUCUAAACCUAUAACUUAUCCAAAAUUCAGGGACUAAUAGCAUCAUUUAACCCCCCAAAAAAACCAUCAGUUUCAUGAUUACAAGUAACUAGGUCAAUCAGGUGGAGUAGAUUUUCCAUCUUAGGGGAGCGAAAUUACUUGAUUCAUUUAGCUGAUUCCUAAGAACUUGCUUGGUAUUUCCCAUCAAAGUUAAAUAAAUAUAUUUAUUUAAACUUUUGUAAUCAUAUAUAUAUGAUUUUGUACUUUAUGGAUAAAAUUGGUAUACGAUGGUCGCAAUAUAUUCUAUAAUUCAUCUAAUUGUUUAACCUACACCAUAUAUAAAUUUUAAUACAUUCCUUUCAUUCAAUUUGGAAGGUUUAAUUAUACCCCAACCCCUUUAUUUUUUGGACUUUAAAAUUUAGUCUCUUUACUUUUAAUUUCAAUAAUUUAAUCUCAUUACUUUUUUGAUUUAAUAAUUAAAGUUCAAUUGGUAAUACUAUGAACUAAAUAUAUGUUAUCAAUUGAACUUUAAUUUUUUAAAUCAAAAUUUAAAGAUUAAAAUGUUUCAUAUUUAAAUUUAAUGAAAAUCCAUUAAUAGGUUAUCAUUUAGAUUUUAAUUUUCAAAUCAAACAAGUAGAUAGAUUAAAUUAUUGAAAAUAAAAGUAGAGUGAUUAUAUUUUAAAUGCUCAAGAAGUAUAGGGUCUGAAAGCAAAAUUAAACCAUAUUUCGAAUCGCUUUCACCAGCUAUAUAUAGAAGAAAUUUAAUUAUGUACUAAUAAAUUGACAUAAAAUAAAGAAAUAAUAAAGGGGGAAAAAAACACCCACGAAUCAGUGUUAAAAUUAAGCUGUCCCUUUUGGUUUUGACAUUGUCUAGGAUUGUUGCCGUGUUGAACUGAAAAAUGGGUAAUAUAAAGACAUUAUACAGAAGAAACAGCAACGCCAUUGUUGUCAAAUUCUAUUUACUUUUUUGGUAAUAAUAAAAGGAACGAAAAGGGUAUAUGCCAUUUGAUGCCCAAAGCUCAUUCUUGGGGAUUUAAGAGAUUAUAUGUAUUUAAAUACCUUAGACUUCUCCUUCACCAAUCAACUCACAACUCAAUCACCUUACAAACUCGGGCCCUGUUUUCCCUUUUGCCUGUGCCUAGAAACAGGUAUUUGUCUUCUAAAGGUCAGGAAAUUCUGAAACUUUAAGAAUUUAUGUAAUAAAAUGAACUACUAAAGACCGCUGCAUGUGAAAAAUGAUGUUCACAUCCUAAAAUGAAAAGCCAAAACAGUUUGUUUUCAUGGUUGUUCAACUUGGGGCUUUUUUUCAUUUUUUUUUGACAUGGGAUUGUUUAUUCAGAGAAAACCCAGAAUUCCUAUGUUUUUUUAAUUUCUUAUUUGAUCUGGUUUCAGGUAAAAAAACACAGAAAUGGAAAACCAGCUUGGAGUUCUUAAUGCUUUGGAUGCAGCAAAGACACAAUGGUACCAUUUCACUGCAAUUGUGAUUGCUGGAAUGGGUUUUUUCACUGACGCUUAUGACCUUUUUAGCAUCUCUCUUAUCACAAAAUUGCUCGGUCGUAUUUACUACUUCGAUGUACAUUCUGCAAAGCCUGGAACUUUGCCUCCUCGUAUUGCAGCUGCUGUUAAUGGUGUGGCCUUUUGCGGAACUUUAGCUGGACAGCUUUUCUUUGGUUGGCUCGGUGAUAAAUUAGGCCGAAAACGAGUUUAUGGACUCACCUUGAUGCUCAUGGUGAUCUGUUCCAUUGCCUCUGGACUUUCCUUCGGAAAGUCUCCACAUGGUGUAAUGGCAACCCUUUGCUUCUUCAGGUUUUGGCUUGGUUUUGGAAUCGGUGGUGAUUAUCCCUUGUCAGCCACAAUCAUGUCUGAAUAUGCCAACAAGAAGACUCGCGGAGCGUUUAUUGCGGCGGUUUUUGCAAUGCAAGGAUUCGGAAUUUUAACAGGUGGGAUUGUUGCUCUGAUUGUGUCAGCUGCAUUUGAUCAUGCCUACAAGGCCCUUCCAUAUAAUGUUGACAAAGAACACUCAACGGCACCCCAAGCCGACUAUAUUUGGCGGAUCAUACUGAUGUUUGGUGCAAUUCCAGCUCUUCUCACUUACUACUGGAGAAUGAAGAUGCCUGAAACAGCUCGUUACACCGCCCUGGUAGCCCGAAAUGCUAAACAGGCAGCUGCAGACAUGUCUAAGGUCUUGCAGGUGGAUCUCAAUGCGGAACAAGAGAAGGUGGAUAAGAUAGGGAUAGAACCAUCCAACUCUUUUGGUCUAUUCAGCAAGGAAUUUGCCAAACGCCAUGGAUUACACUUGCUUGGAACAACCUCAACUUGGUUCUUGUUGGACAUUGCCUUUUACAGUUCCAAUCUGUUCCAAAAAGAUAUCUUCAGUGCUAUUGGGUGGCUCCCGAAAGCUGAAACCAUGAGUGCAACUCACGAGGUUUAUCGUGUNNNNNNNNNNNNNNNNNNNNNNNNNNNNNNNNNNNNNNNNNNNNNNNNNNNNNNNNNNNNNNNNNNNNNNNNNNNNNNNNNNNNNNNNNNNNNNNNNNNNNNNNNNNNNNNNNNNNNNNNNNNNNNNNNNNNNNNNNNNNNNNNNNNNNNNNNNNNNNNNNNNNNNNNNNNNNNNNNNNNNNNNNNNNNNNNNNNNNNNNNNNNNNNNNNNNNNNNNNNNNNNNNNNNNNNNNNNNNNNNNNNNNNNNNNNNNNNNNNNNNNNNNNNNNNNNNNNNNNNNNNNNNNNNNNNNNNNNNNNNNNNNNNNNNNNNNNNNNNNNNNNNNNNNNNNNNNNNNNNNNNNNNNNNNNNNNNNNNNNNNNNNNNNNNNNNNNNNNNNNNNNNNNNNNNNNNNNNNNNNNNNNNNNNNNNNNNNNNNNNNNNNNNNNNNNNNNNNNNNNNNNNNNNNNNNNNNNNNNNNNNNNNNNNNNNNNNNNNNNNNNNNNNNNNNNNNNNNNNNNUAGGGAAUAUGUCACUUUUGGAGAGAUUAGACUUGUCUAACAAUGGUUUCGAGGGUUCUAUUCCAGUGGAAUUUUGCAACUUGAAUAACUUCAAAUUUUUUGAUCUUUCUGAAAAUAAUUUAUCUGGCUCUAUACCAUCUUGUUUUAAUCCUCCAAACCUAGAGCAUGUCCACCUGCACAAUAAUAGACUGGGUGGACCAUUGUCACUUGCUUUUAAUAAAAGCACUUCACUAGUGACAUUAGAUCUUAGAGGAAACAACUUUACCGGUGGUAUUCCAAAAUGGAUCGGCGCACUUUCUUCUUUGAGUGUCCUUCUCUUGAAAGCUAAUCAUUUACGGGGAAGAAUUUCAGUCCAGUUAUGCACCUUGUAUUCCUUGAGCAUUAUAGAUCUUUCUCAAAAUAGGUUUUCCAGUCCUAUACCUUCUUGUUUGGGAAAUUUAACUCUUCCAAUGAAUAAGGAUAAGACCAUGACACCAGAUUUAAUGUCUCCAACAUUUUCAGAACUGGAUGAAUUGAAACUAUUAAAGACGGGUAUACUUUUCGAGCACAUGAUGCAUUCCUAUAGCUACAUGAAAGAAUCAGUAGAGUUUACCACAAAGAGUGGAUCCUACUCAUAUGGAGGCGACAUCCUUGAGUACAUGUCUGGGAUUGAUUUAUCUUGCAAUGAGUUAACCGGUCAAAUCCCACUUGAAUUAGGGAACUUGCAUGAAAUCCAUUCUUUGAACUUGUCACACAAUAAGUUGGUCGGAGUUAUACCCUCAUCAUUCUCAAAACUUAAGCAGAUUGAGAGUUUGGAUCUUUCUUACAACAACUUGAGGGGUGAAAUCCCAAACCAGCUGGUAGAGUUGAACUCUCUGGGGGUUUUCAGUGUUGCACACAACAACUUGUCAGGUAGUAUUCCAGAACAAAACCAAUUUGGGACUUUCAUUGAAAGCAGUUACGAGGGGAACCCUUUUCUCUGUGGACCUAUGCUUCAUAUAAGUUGCUCCAAAACCGGUUCAACAUCAACAAUAUCAGAUGAUGAAAGAGAAGAUUGUUUUCUAGACACAUAUGUUUUUUGUGUGAGCUUUUUGGCUUCUUAUGUAGUUAUGUUGUUAACAAUUGUUGUUAUCCUUUACAUAAAUCCACAUUGGCGAGGAGUUUGGUUUUCUUUCGUCGGGAAGUGCAUCAGCAGUUGCCGUUACUCAACUGUGGGCAAUCUUCUUGGGUAUUACAUCUUUAGAAGAUGUGUUUAGAUGAAUUUUAGGGAGUAUUUUGCUAGUUUUGCAUUUUGAAUAAAGAUCUUGUCUUUGGGGUAAGAAAGCUUAAGUCUGUCUUGUUUGUUUUAUUUUUGUAUAUAAAUAUUCAAUUAUUUAGUUGUUUUUCUUUUUUGAAAUUUCAAUUAUUAUCAUAAUUCUUUGAAUUAAAUUAAAUUGAUAAAUGGAGUAUUUUAGUGUAUAGCUAGAAAUUGCAUCAUUCAAAAUGUAGGUAAAAAUAAUUAUUUAUAAAUUUUAUGUUUGAAAAACUAAUGAAUGUUGAAAGAAUAGUGAAUUAUUAAAGAGAAGUUGUAUGAUAAUGGAUAGUUUUAAAGUAGUGGUUUAGUAGAAAUAAAUAGUUUUUAUAAAAAUAUUUCAUUUUUUUUAUGCUAAAUUAAGUGGUGAUAUCAAGUAAAUCAGGAAAUUUUAUAAUAAAAGAGAUGAAAAAAGAAACACAAAAUUAACUUUUAAAAAAUGUUAGUGCACGAGUAUUCAACCAAGGAUUUUUAAAUAUUUCUCAUAUGUAUUUAUGACAUGGUUUCCAGUUGUUGAAUAUAAAUGUUAGAUACAACAUAUGCUGCUCUUGUUGUGUCUUGACCUUCUAAAAACAGCGGAAAUUCUGCUGAAAGUGUUGUAUCCAAUGACAAAUGAGCUGUAAAUGCUGAUGAACAAACAAGCACUGGCAAGCUAACUUCACAGAACAUUUGAACCCAAAUAAAAAUGCAACAGGAGAAUAAUUCAUCUUGGAAAAAGAAUCGUUAAUAUGCGAAAACUUAUCUUGUUUGACAAUAAUACAACAUAUGUUGUUCUUGUUGUCUUGACCUUCUAAAAACAGUGGAAAUUCUGAUGGCUUUACAUUUGCUGAAAGUGUAGUAUCCAAUGACAAAUCAGAAGAUGCUGGCUGGCUUUGCAUUUGCUGAAGGCGCGUGGUGAUUAAUAUAUGAACAAGAACCACCCUAGCACAGUGGAUAACGCUAAGGAACUGUAAAUAGGAUGCAACUGGUGAAACAAGAAACAAUAAUAGGUAUGAUUAAAAUUAUAGCCUUAACAAACAAUCAAGACACAGCCCACUAUACUAUCUUUCCAUCCUAGCGAUAAAAAAUUACUUCAGCAUCUCCAAGCAACAAGGGGUUGCUGGUGGAAACGUUUAAUUCUUGGUUGGGGACUAAUAUAAUCCCUUGUUAUUGCAGUGCAUACGGAGCAUUGUACACAUUGAACUGGAUUUAUAAGUACUUUACUGAAGAGCACUUUGUCCACUGGGUAAGUAUGUUCUUCUUUCUCUGUUCUUCUGUCUCCCCUCGUCGCGUCAGUAGCCAUGGAUGUAUGAAGAAUGUUUGUACCAAUAAAUCAAUGCCAACACAUUUUUGUGAUAUUCUACAUUACAUAUGUUAUUUCUUAACACCGUGAUUAAAUUGGUGCUUGGAACUAUGGUUAGAGUUUAAACAUAAAGAUGAACACCAAGAUUAUUUAUGUAGUUCGAUUUUAGUCUACACAUUGAUGGAUAUAAGGGGGGCAGGUGGGGGCAAUGUUUUAGAAAUUUACAUAGCACCUCCUUAAGAUAAACUUUAUUACAUUAAAGCCCCUAAAAAUUUAAAUUUUGCCCCCCUAAACUCCCCCAAAAAAACACCAACCCCUUUUUAAAGUUUGUCCCCCUAAGUCGUAUUUCUGAAUCCGCCACUGAGUCUAUAUCUGUGGAGUCUUGCCCAGAGCAAUAGUUCACUGUCUUUCUUGUAGUGCAACUAAUUAUUUAAGUAUUAACCAGGUCUAGCACUCACCAAUUUACCAAUCUCACCGUCGUACAAAGACUAGAUACUCUCCCUCUAAGCUUCUGCCUCAAAAGUUUAGUUUUGCUACUCAAGAUACUCUUUUGAAUGUUUACAGAAAUAAUGUACACAUAAGCAAUUCUUUACUUAAACAAAUUUGUGCUCUAUCAAGUUUUUAAUCUUUUGAUUGUCUCUUAAUCUAGACAAAAGUUAUGUUUAUAUGCUACUUAAGUUCUCUACAAAGAAUGUUAAUAAUCAGCAUAAGACACUACUUCCAUAAGAGUUUCGAUUCAAUCCAAUGCCUUUAAAAUAUGAAAAGUGACUUUUUUUUGUUUGACAAGUAUUUUGCCUUGAGUUGUGAGAAAUCAAUCUCCAAAGUUUUCAAUUUCAACCCAAAUGAUCUUUAUGUUAUGGGCUUUACUCAUUCAUAUAUUUUCAAAAAUCAAUAACGUAAGGCUUUUAUUCUAAAAUUUAUCAACUCUUAAAAUAAACAAGUAAGACAAUGAAGCAAUACCUAAAGAAGUGACUAUUGGUUCAAGCACACAAGCAACCAUAGAAUCAACCUUCAACUAAUAAUAAAAAUUUCAAUUUAAAACUCAAACCUAGCUAAAAUAUUGUAUAUGGCAAUAAAUUAAAUUUCAAGCCUAGUCAUAGCUUAAAAUAUAUAAUUUUUUAAUAAUAAAUCAACACAAAAAUUAUAAAAACUUUCUGAUAUUCAUAUUUUUAUUUUGCUAAUUGAAUCUUGUUUGAUUGGUAUUAAUAUUAUUGUCAAUACAUGAAAACGUGGAUUUGAGGUGUUUAUCAUUCUAUUUAAAAAUUCGGGAGAAAUUAUGAAUAAUUCUAAAUAUUGUAUUUUUUUUUAUUUUAGUGCGGUAUAUAAUGUUAUCAUUAAAAAAUUGAAAUAUACUCAUAUUGCAUGAAAAGCCAAGAAAAAGUAUAAAAAAAUUAAUAUCCUUAAUAUUCAUAACUAUCAUUUUAACAGUAUCAAAGAAAAUACUAAAAUUUCAAGAAAUAAAAUUGUGUACGUAUACGUUUUUGGUAUCAAAUUUCAAAGGUUUAAAAUUCCCAAACCCAAUGUGACCGCCACCAAUUAAUAUCAAAUUUUCUACACCACAUAAACUUUUUUGGUCAAACAAGUUGGAUUUGACUUUACCAAUACCUAAAUGAUAGAGUGCGAAAGAUUAAUUAUCAGAUUUACGCUAAUAUUUUUGAGAAAUAAAAAAAAUCAAUAUUUUGAGUUAAUGAAUUACUAAUUUAAUUAAAAAUUAAAAGAUAAUUUUUUAAAGAAAUUUAUGAAAUUAUAUUUUAAUAUUAAAAAAUUAUAGUUUUAACUUUAUAAAAUUUAUUAUUUAUCUUUGAUCCUGAAAAAAGACAAAUUAACAUUAAUAAAAUUUGGUGUUAUUAUUCAUUUACGGAAUACAUUAAUAAAAUUUUUGAGUCGAAUUCGAAUAACUUGCGGGUACAAAAAUAUAAAUUAACCAAAUAUUAAAAUACUUGACCAAAAAUGAAAAGUCUAUUUUGAGCAAAGGGUGUUUUUGUGUUGGAUUAUCACCGAAUAUAUAUAUAUACCUCAAACGAAUUUAACUGAAUAUUAAAAUACUUACCAAAAAUGCAUUUUACCAUAUACGUAGAUGUAGAGGUGGCUGGGUUCGGGUCGGGCUCAGAAAAAAAUUUCAGCCCACUUCCUAGGCCUGGGCUCGGCCCGAAAUAUGGGCCUAAAAUUUUUUCCAGGCUCGGCCCGGCCUUUUUUAUGAUAGAAAAAAAUAAUUUUACCAUUUUAAUAGUCUAUAUUUUUAUAAUUUUUAAAAGAUUAAAUUAACCUUUUUUUAUUAUUUGAGGGGUAAAGUGUAAUUUUACCAUUACUAUUUUAAAAUUUUAUAAAUUAUAAAGAGUUAAAAACAGAAUUUUUAUUUUUAUUUUAGAGUAGAACUCUUGCCCAUGAAAUAUCAUAUCAACAAAUUUAACAAUACUAAUAAUUAAAAUUAAAUUUUAAAAUAUGAAAUAUGAAAUAUAAAAAUUAAAAAUUUUAAAAUAAAAAUAAAAAAGGAGGAGGGAUUGGCUUAGGGAAAUAGGAAAUGGGAAAUGAGGAGGGGAAAUGAGAAAUUUAUGUAAUAUAUAUUUAUUAUAUUUGGGCCGGGUCGGGCCCGGGCAAAAAAAUUUUCUCGAGGCCCGGCCCGUUUUCUAAAUAGGCCUCAUUUUUUGCCCAAACCCAUAUUUUGGGCCUAUAUUUUUACCCGAACCCUCUCAUAUUUUGGAUGGGCCAUUGGGCCGGGCCGGGCUUAGGAAUUUUUUCUCGAGCCAGGCCUGGACAAAAUUUCAGGCCCAUAUUUUGGGCUGGGUCGGGCCCGAGCCUAGGAUGCAGGUUGAAAUUUUUUUCUGGGCCAGGCCCAGCCCGGCCCAUGGACACCUCUAAUAUAAACAAAAUGAUGUAUAAUAUUCCAUAAAUACAAGACACAAAUAUAGCAAGAAUAAGGAAAUUGGUAUUUAAAUAAAUAAAUUGAAUUGAAUUAAAAUUAAUUAAUUAACUAAAUUAAGUCAAAUUAAACUAAUAAAUAAUUAAAUUAAAUUAAAACGAGGACUAAAUUGAUGUUUAAUCUCAAAUUUGGGACAAAAUUGCACAUGAAAAUAGGCUGGGGGACCAAGUUGUAAUGCGCAAGAAAAAAGAGAGGGCCAAAUGGGAAAUAAAUCCAAUUCCUGGGCACGCGUCACUUCCCUAAGGGAUUAGCGCACCAGGGACCAAAUUGCAAAGAAAAAAUAUUUGUGGUCCAAUUUAAAAAUAAAGAAAAAAGCGAAAAAAGACUAAAUUGAAACAGACCAAAAAUACGGAAGGGCCAAAAGAGAAAUGCCCCUUUUUGCAAAAACACGCGGAUCCCCCUUUCAAGUCGGGUCGAACGCGCGAGUAUGGGGGCAAGGUUGAAACGGCGCCAUUUUGGUGCAAAGCAAAACGACGCCGUUUUGUUCCGCGGUUGCCGAAAAGUAAAAAAAUAAGUCAUUUUUUGGCUUUUUGACUCCCGAGCCUAGAAAAGCAUAGUUUUUCAUCGGAAACGACAUCCUCGACCUCCCACGGUGCCGAAAAACCGAAAAGGUAAAGCCUUUCUUCCCUUUUUUGUGUUUAUUUUCUAAAAAGAACCAAGAAAAAUACAAGUAAAGAAGAAAAAAAAUGAAAAAAAAAGAACCACCUUUUGAAUCUUUUCUUUGUUUUGAUUGCUAUUUUGUUGUAUAUUUCGUGUGUGAAAAAAAAUAUAAAAUCUAUUGUGGCUUUUUAUAGCCGAAAAUACAAGAUUUUUUUCUUCUUUUUUGUUUUUUUCGUUUCUAUCCUUUUGUUUGUUUUGCAGGUACAAGAGCCAACUUUGGAGGUACGGAGGCUGACAUGGAGGAGUUGUGGUGGUGCUGACGUGGCAAGCGGCGGCGGCUGAUUUGGUGUUGGGGGCUAGGGUUUUUUUUUUUUUUUGUGUUUAGGUGUUGGGUUAAUUUUGAUCCAAGGGUUUUAUUUUAUUGGGCUGCUUUUUGGGUUUGGGUUAAUUGUUUGUAAGUGGGCUUAUAAUAUUCAAUUUUUUGAGCUGGGCCAGGCCAACAAAAUUGGCCCAUUACAAUAAAAAAAUACAAAAAAUAUAAAAUCUUUUACACAUUUAUAUUUUUAUUUUACCGAUUGUGUCUUAAUUCGAUUGACAUCAAUAUUAUUCUUAAUGCAAGUGAAGUCUUUAAAAUUUAUUAUUCAUAUCUAACCUUAAAGUAAUUUUUCAAUUUCAUCCUCAUGUGUGAGAGACAAGUUAACAUGCCUUUUUUUGGGCCCAUAACGAGGACUUCGAUUAUGUUUACACAUUUUUUAAGUCUUCAAUUUCGUUAAUUACGAAAGUUGAUGGGCGUCUACACUAAAUUUCCACCCACUAGAAUAUACGUAUUAAUUUGGUUUUCUCAACUACCAAUAUGACUAUAUAAAGCAUAUAAUUAUAGUUAUAUACAAGGACCGAUUACCAAAGUAUUUUAUAGAUAGGAUAUUCAAUAGCUUGGUCUCUAUCCGCACAUGACCUUGACUUAAACGUCAUCCACUCAUUCUAUGUCUUAAAAAAAUCAAGAAUGAGAACUUUGUGCAUGUAAGUUGGUUGGCUAUCAAGUUGAAGAUUCCAAAACCAGUUAUAGUUCAAGCCUUUAUUUUUCCAUAAAACCAAAAUUUUCUACAUUAUGGAUACUUUUGAAUUUUCUUUUUGGCAAUUAGUAGAGAGGGGACGAGGAAUGGGUUUUCCAAUAUUGAUGUUAACAUUAGACUUAAAUGGUGAAAAUAUUAUAAAGGUUUUGUACUACAAGUUAGAUUGUAUUUUGUUUUCUCUACUAAAAAUAGACAAAUUAAUCUUUGUACGUUAGAAACCAAAGUGCAAAAUCGUUGUGUAUUAAAAGUUCUAUCCACUUGUGUUGUUAAGUUAUGAUUUGGCAUUUUUCAAAAAAAAAAAUGUAACUGGCAUGGAAUUAAAAGAUGAGUAGAAUUAGAUAAAAGUAUUGUACUAGAAGUUAGAUUGCACUUUAUCCUUUCUACUAAAAACUAGACAAAUUAGUCCAUGCAUGUUAGAUAAAAAACAAAUUGAUCCUUCUACUAAAAAUAGUCAAAUUGCCCACUUUUGCAAUCACUUCUAGUCAUACUUGUUACUUAACAACUACUUCAGGUUAACAAUUUCUAGUGUUAAGAAAAUAACAUGGUUGAUUGGGCAAUCAGACAAUGGCACGUGAUAUGCCACAUGUACUUCAUGCUGAUGUAGCAUUUAUCACAUCAGUAAAUCUUUAAAAAUUAAAAAUUAUAUAUAAAUUAUUUAAAAAUUAUAAGAAAUUAUAUAAAAUCACAUCUAAAAUGAACUUAUAAAAAUGAUUGUCCAAAUGAGGGCAAAUAACCAAAAAAGGCCAUUUUUUUCAAAAUUUAUCGAAAUGGGCCGGUUUUUUAAUUAUUUACCGGAAUGGGCCAUUUUCCGCGAAAUCGCGUCCACGUCAGCGCGAUGUCAGGGUACGCACAGGAAAUCGCGUCCACGUCAGAGCGAUUUGCUGACGUGGAAGGAAAUCGUGCCCUCUAGGACGCGAUUUGCUGACAGUGUGUUUUUAGCUUGCAAAACUUUGAAAGGCCAUAACUUUUGGCUCGGUUGUCCGAUUGAGGCAAUUUUUUUUUUUGAUUUCGAAUAAAUUUUCAAGAUCUACACGCUGGAAAACAGCCAAAGGCGGUUUGCCAAAGUUUUCAUCAAAAAAGAUCAUUUUUUGCCCCUAAAUUUUGAUUUUUUCGGUUUAAAAUUGAAUUUUAAAACAUUCAAAUUGUUAUUUUCCUCAUUUAUUUGAAGUAAACACCGGAUAUUUUUUUACAGAAUUGUCUUAUAUCAUCCUGUUAUAGGUAUAAGUCAGCUCAUUCCACUUUUGAGAAGUUCCCUAAAAUUUUCCAUUUUAUUCAAUUUAGUCCCUAAAACCUAAAUAGUCAUAUUUUCAAAUCUAAGCUUCAUUUUUCAAUUCAAAUUCAAUUUCAUCCUUCCAUAACAUUCAAAUAUUCUUAAAUACAAAAAUUUCAUGCUAAUUUUGAAAUAAUUACACUUUAGUCCCUAUACUCGUAACUAACAAAUUAUACUUUACAAAUUAGUCCCUAUUCCAGCGUGUAGAUCUCGAAAAGUUAUUCGAAAUCAAAAAAAAUUCGUCUCAAUCAGACAACCGAGCCAAAAGUUAUGGCCUUUCAAAGUUUUCCAAGCUAAAAACACACUGUUCAUGCCACGUCAGCAAAUCGCGUCCUAGAGGGCGCGAUUUCCUUCCACGUCAGCAAAUCGCGCUGAUGUGGACGCGAUUUCCUGCGCGUACCCUGACAUCGCGCUGACAUGGACGCGAUUUCGCGGAAAAUGGCCCAUUCCGGUAAAUAAUUAAAAAACCGGCCCAUUUCGGUAAAUUUUGAAAACAAAUGGCCUUUUUUGGUUAUUUGCCCUCCAAAUUAGCUUAAUAACCAUUUGUUUAAACUGAUUACUAAUGUCAAGUUUAGGAUUCCAAAAUGGCCUAAAUGAGUUGGAAAAAAAAUUGCAAGAACUCAAGUUGGAUCCUUACCCAUAAAACCAAGUAAAAGAGUAUUUUUUUUUAAUUUAAUUAUACAUUUUAGUUUGAAAUUUUUUUAUCUAUAAUAAUUUCUCAAGAAUUAAUUGUAAGUUAUUUCCAUAAUCUAAAUUAUUGUGGAGGGACUUAUUAUAUAAGUUGAAGGUUGACACAAAAGUCAAUAGUCAAUAUUUGAAAGUUAAUGCAAUUAAGUAUGCCAUUGUUGAAUGUUGAUGUAUCUAAUGAUAUUUUCUUAACGAAUGCCUCUAACUACUUCGUAGAAAGCUAGGUUUAGCUAGAUGGUGCUAUGUUACAUCACAAUUGUAUGUAUAUAUUACAUCAUAAUUGAGAUUUUUAUUCAAAUAUUUUAUUUUAUUUUUAUCCUUAAAUCAUGAAUGGUAUUAUAAUUGUACUAUUAGUGGAGAUUUUAAAUUCAAGAAGUAAAGUCAGGAGUUGACAAAAGUUCUAUAGAGAUAUAGUAUAAUAUUAAAAAAGUAAAUAUUUAUAAACAAAUACAUUAUUCGUAUACCCAUAAUUAAAUAGUUUUUUUUUUUAAAAAUUCUUUAACUUUUGAAAGAAGCUUUUCUAAAAUAUCAUCCAUCCGGACCCAACAAUUGUCCUCUCUCUUGCCAAGUUAAGUGAUAGUAAAAAUUCUCUAUUUUAUAUUUGGUUGUAAUGUUUGCUGCGACAGUGGGUGCUCAUUUUAUACCACUUUGUCUGCCAAUAAAAUAUCUUUUUGCUAAAAACAAUAAGUACCAAAAAAUAAUUAUUUAUUAAACUUUCAUUAUUGUGGAUUUAAUCUUUAAACUUUAAUUUUAUAUUUUAAUCUUUGUACAACUUAAAUAAAAUUUUGUGGUCUAUUUAAGUUACGAGUGAACACCAAAUCAAGAGGUCAUCAAUUAAAGGAAUACAAUUAAUUCGAUGUUUAAAUGUAUGAAGUAUACAAUAAUUUACAAUAUUAUUUAAUCUUAAAAUUUUUAUUUAUAAUUUAAUAUAAAUAAAUAAUCGCGAAAAAUGAAUUAAAAAUCAUACUAAUUCCAAAGUAAUUGUUAGAGUGGAAAGAAUUUUGUAAUAUAAACUCAUGAUUUCAGGUUUUCAACCUGGAAUUACAAAGCCGAUUAGUUAUGUGCUUAUAUUUCAUUAACCAGAAAUAAUUAUGCUUAUAAUGUCACGUUUUAAAAUUCUUUUUAUAUUAAUCAUAUUAUAUCUACAAUUACAAAAUCUGACAAUGUACAUAUAAAACCAAAAUCAAGGCCUAAAAUUUCCAAGAAAAAAAAAACAAAAUGAAGGGUUAGAAUUUCCAUUAAUAAAACCAAAAUCAAGGACCCAAAAAUUCCAUGAAUAAGACGAAAAAUCAAGAACUAAAAUUUCCAUUAAUAAAAACAAAAUCAAGACUAAAAAUUUCCCAUGAAUUUAAACAUUGUACGUGAAAUUUAUAACCCAAACUACACAAUUUUAUGUCCUAUCUCCCACCUUUUCAUAUCUUUUUGGCCAUUAGUUAAGAUGGGAGGGGAAUGACUUAUCAAGAUUAGCGUCACCAUUAGAUUCUCGAUAUUACGCCUAUAAAAGAAAUUCAUUGGACUUAUAAUUUAAGGGCUAACAAAAGGUUUAUAAAAUACUUCUUUUUCAAAUUAACUUUUUUUCUAUCAUGUGUUUCAGAUUCUCGAUUCUGCUGACUCUUCUUCUGAUUGGAGCUGCCGAGGAGGUUGGUUUCAUCUACAACGGCUUCCGGUCGGCUAAUCUAAACCUUGAUGGCAUUGCAGAAAUCACUUCUAAUGGACUCCUACAGCUCACCAAUAAAACCAAGCAACAAAAAGGUCAUGCUUUCCACCCUCACCUUGUUGACUUUAAGAACUCUACCAACGGUUCUGUUUUUUCCUUCUCUACCACCUUUGUCUUCGCCAUACUUCCCGAGUAUCCAACUCUCAGCGGCCAUGGAGUUGCUUUUGUGAUUGCACCCACCAAAGGCUUACCCACAUCUCUUCCAAGUCAGUAUCUCGGACUGUUUAAUGAGCUCAACAAUGGCAAUGAUACAAACCAUGUUGUUGCCGUAGAACUCGACACCAUACGAAGUACAGAGUUCGAUGAUAUCAAUGACAAUCACGUUGGGAUUGAUAUUAAUGGGCUGACGUCUGCUAAAUCUAUUUCAGCUGGAUAUUAUAAGGACGGUAGCCAUGACGUUAAAAACCUGUCCUUGAUCAGUGUUAACGGAUGCAAGUUUGGGUCGAAUAUCAUGGUCUAGAGAAGAAAAUGGAUGUGACUUUAGCUCCAUUUAAGGUUCCUAAACCCAGCACACCACUUUUAUCCUUGUCUCGUGACCUGUCUUCAAUUGUCAACCGUGAGAUGUAUGUUGGUUUUUCAUCGUCAACUGGUUCGGUCCUCACAUCUCAUUAUGUUUUGGGCUGGAGCUUUAAGGUUAAUGGUCAGGCAGAAGAGCUUACCCUGUCUCGCCUUCCCAAGCUUCCUCGGUUAGGACCAAAGAAAAAGCCGAAAGUUUUGACAACUGGGUUGCCUUUGAUUUUGGUGAGCUUGGCUUUGACAGGAGUUUCUGGUGCUGUUUAUUGGGUAAGGAGGAAAAGGAAGUUUGCUGAAGUAGUUGAAGAUUGGGAGCUUGAGUAUGGGCCUCAUAGAUUCAAGUUUAAAGAUCUAUAUAUUGCUACGAAAGGAUUCAAAGACAAGGAAUUAUUAGGUGCUGGUGGAUUUGGUAGGGUCUACAGAGGAGUUCUUUCAAGCAAUAAACUUGAGGUUGCAGUGAAAAGAGUCUCGCAUGAAUCAAGGCAAGGGAUGAGGGAAUUUGUAGCAGAAAUUGUGAGUAUCGGUCGUCUCCGACACCGCAAUUUAGUCCAACUCUUGGGAUAUUGCCGGCGCAAAGGUGAGCUGCUUUUGGUCUAUGACUAUAUGCCUAAUGGAAGUCUCGAUAAGUAUCUGCAUGACCAGCCAAAAGUCACCCUAAAUUGGAGACAAAGAUUCGGAGUCAUCAAAGGUGUAGCAUCAGGAUUGUUAUAUUUACAUGGAGAAUGGGAGCAAGUUGUGGUUCAUAGAGAUGUUAAAGCCAGCAAUGUUUUACUGGAUGGUGAAUUAAAUGGAAGAUUGGGAGAUUUUGGGCUUGCUAGAUUAUAUGACCAUGGAACGGAUCCCCAAACAACUCAUGUUGUGGGAACUCUUGGUUAUUUGGCUCCCGAGCAUACUCGAACCGGGAAAGCCAACCCGUCCACCGAUGUGUUUGCUUUUGGGGCAUUUUUGCUUGAAGUUGCGUGUGGAAGAAGACCAAUAGAGGCACAAUCUACGACAGAAAAUGCAGUCUUGGUAGAUUGGGUGUAUUCAUGUUGGUCCAAAGGUAAUAUUAUGGAGGCCAAAGAUCCAAAUCUGGGUUCAGAUUAUGUAGCAGAGGAAGUUGAGUUGGUUUUAAAACUUGGGUUGCUCUGCUCUCACUCAGAACCUGAAGUAAGGCCAACCAUGCGCCAAGUCCUUCAGUUUUUAGAAGGGGAUGUUUCAUUUCCAGAAAUGUCAUCACUCAGUCUCACUUCCAGUGGACUAAUAUUUGGACGUGGACAGGGGUUUGAUGAUUAUGUCAUGUCGUAUUCAUCUUCCGUUUGGAAGGGAUUCUCCAAUUGUUCUGUUGCAGAUUCUUUAGUUUCUGAAGGUCGAUGAUUGUAAAAUUUUUCUCAGUGUUAAUAAUAAGAAGUGGUAAUCCAUUGCUUUGCGUAAAGGCUACUUAGUCAAGAUACUUAGAUGAACAACCAUUUCUUUUAAAAUUGUUAUCAUAAUAUUGGUGAACCUGGAAUUUUAUGUUUUUUGUAUAUUCUUAGAUGUUGCCAAAAGGAAGGCUGUUAGAAAUGAUUGGCUUUACCAAUUUCACAACCUAGUUCUUCUAGUUUGUGUUCCCUUUUUUAUUUAGUUUGUGGAAGGGAGUUGAGGGGCACAACCACAACCAUACUAGUUUCUACAUUUUGACUACAAAGGUACCUAAAACUUUAACACCACAGUGCUAUUGCCUCUGUUAAUACUAAAUUCUAUGUGCCUAAUAGAUUGUAGUGUGCAUAGGUUAGCAAAACAGAGCAAUCUACGAAGUAGAAACAAAAUCACCAGAGGCAAACCGAAGCCGAAUUAAACACCCAAGAGAUUUAAAAAAUCAAUUUAACCCUUUUAAAUUUCAAAAUAUCAUAUAACUUAUAAACAUAAAUAUUUAAAAAAGUUAUAAAAAUUUUAAAAUAAUAAAAUUUUAAUUAAAAAAUAACAAUACCAAACUCAUUAAAACUCAUUAAAAUCUAAUUAUUGAGAUUUUUAAAAAUUUUGACCCCUACUCUUUUUUUGGCCAAUAUUAUUAAAUUCUUUAAUUUUUAAAUUUUAAAAGGCUUAAUUAAUUUUUUUUUAAAAUUGUUACUAAGACCUUUUUGACCCUUUAGCCUUAUUAGCUUAAAAAUGUCUAAUUUACUUCCCAUAAAAGAAUAGGGUUAAAAUUGAAUAAAUAUGUAAAAGUUGACGGCUAAAUUUGUUAUUAUACCUUAUAUAUAAACAUCAAAUUUUAACAAGAGGGGUUGUUUUGCUCACUCUUCUAAAGUACAUGUGCUUAACUAUUAUGCUUGUGUGUGAGAGGUCCUAUGUUCAAAUCUCUUCCCUUGAGUUUUUAUUGUUUUUAUUCAAACACUUGACUUGUCACAAAUAAGUUAUAUUUUAGCUUUGUUAGUUUAUGGAUGAUAAUGAGUUUAUUGGUUCAAUGGUAAGAUUUCAACUUACCUAGGGAUCUUGUGUUCCAAUCUUGUUGGGUGCAACGAUGGAAUUCUUUUUGUUACUCUCUGCUAUGUCGUCCAUGACUCAGGAAGUGGGUCAAUUUCAAAGUCUUUGAGAUAUGAUACGAUAACAACCAUCCCACUCUUCCACUAUCUCUCUUGCCGCCCUCUUCUCCCCAUUUUUCUCUCCAUCUUUUAGUUUUCUCUAAUUUCCCCCCAUUAGAUUUUGAACUCAACAUCAACUUUUGAGAUUUGAUAGCUAAAAUAUAUAUGACGGGUUAAUUAUUUGUUUUGUUAAAUUAUAAAGUAGAAGUUUUAAAGUUCAAAUAUAUUUUAUGUUUUUAUACACUUUGUACAUUUAGAAUUUAGUUCUCUAUUUUGAGUUUAGUCAUUCUAUUUUUUGGAUUUAAAAAUUUAAAUCUAAUUGUUUUCACCGUUAAAUUUUUUUUAUUAAAUUCACUUGUGUGACAUUUAGAAAUUAUAUAUAUUUUUUCACUCGGUAGCCAUAUAAUGUUAAAACCAAGGCUAUCCAACACAGUUUAUUCAGUGACCUGAUCUAUCAUGGACUUGAUCAGUCAAGAAAGGAGACAGUUUGCACAUAUUUAUAUGUUGGCCUCUUUGACAUUUGCCUUAUUUGAUGAUCUUUAUUAAGAGGGAGAUUAUCUUUUCUUUUAAUGCAAUUAGUGUUGGAGCUUGGCUCAAGAUUUUAACUGGUGGGGCUUCAGUGGAAAACGGUUGAUUGCUCUGUUGAAUUUUCUCACUAUGCUAUAAUGUGAAUUAGAAUGGUGUUCAUAAAAGUUUUUGGCUGAUAUCGGUUUUGGCGACUUAUUGGACAGCGUGGCUGGUAUGAAAUGAUUUUGUGUUCGACAGAUCUUUCGAUGAUAAUUGAUAUGUUGUUGUUUCAUUCCAAAAUGAGAUUUAUGUUGUAGGCAAGGGUGGUGCAUGUUGUUUUUCAAUUUCUGAAGGGUUCAUGGUGGUUUUGCCUAGUGUCACUCAUUAGAUUCCAUACCCUCACGGGUAGGCGAAGUUCAACGUGGCCGGAGUUGAUAAGGAUGACGAAGUUGGUAGUUAUGGGGUGUUGAGAGAAGAGUAAAGAGUGGCACAUUCAUGAUGUUUUCGGUCGAUGAGGAUAUUGGGACUAAAAUAGUAGAGGAAUUCUUGACCGUUGUUGUUAUGGAAUAUUUUUAUUGGUAUUGAUCAUUGUUUCUCAGGCUGGCUAGAGUUCUCUUCGUAUUGUGGAUAGGUAAGGUAAUGGUAUGGCUGAUUCUUUGGCAAUAACAAAGGUGAGAAGGCUUGCAUGUUUUAAAGCUUGGGGUGAAAUGUUUUUCAUUUCUUUAGUUGUUUGCAUAGAGGGUGGAAGUAUCAGGUUAUCUGGGUGUUUUGUAUCAUUUUUGUUUAUGAGAGAGGUUUACUUUUACCAACAUCUUUCUAUUAUUAAUACAAUCCUAUUGUUCGAGCGAAAAAAAAAAUGCCUCAUGGAAAUCUUCAUCUUUGUCCUUAGAACUAAAAUUAUCAACAAAGUUUAUUUUUAAUUGUGAAAAUUAUAAUAAUUUAAUAUCAUAAUAUUAUUUUUAAAAAUGAUAAUAUUAUCAUUGUUUGCAAAAAAGAAAUUAUUAAGCAUAUUUUAUUUUAAAAAUAAUAGAUUUUUGUAUUCUUUAUAUCUGUUUUACGACUAUGUUCGAGGUUUUUGGGUAUCCCCUUCCAACAAUGUCAUCUCCAAGAUUUGAACAUACAUCUUCCCUUGAGAAUAUAAUAUAUGUCUUAUCAUUGUAUCUAAUACUCGUAGGUAAAAUAACACUUUUUUAAAAUUAUAAAUAUUUAUAUUUCUAUGCAUAAAGUACAAUAUAUAAAAUAUAAUGCCUUUUUUUUGUUUAAGAUACUAAUUGUAGAAGCCCAAACUUGCCCGGGCCCUACCAGCAAAACAAAUUUCAGCCCAAAUGGCCCAGUUACAUUGCAAAAUUAAUUGGACCAGCCCAAAUACAAACCAUAGGCCCAAAUACACCCCAAACCCAAUGAAAACUAGGGUUUCAGAACCCUAGUUUCCCCAUGUGCGCCGUACACCUCUGCAGUACCCACUCCUCUGCCACUGCCGUUCGCUACGUCCCAUCCGCACCUGCCUCUGACGUCGCGCCGCUCGUCCAUCACCUUGCAAACACGCAACACAAGCAGAAGCAGAAGGAGACAAGACCAAAAUUUUAUUUUUCUUUUGGCUAUAAAGCCGAUUUGUAAGAAACGAAAAUGGGGGGAAAUCGGUUUUAAAAAACUGAUCUUUGCAUCUGUAAAAAGCUCUCUUUUUCACAAAUAUUCAGAAAAUAAAAUACAACAUUUUCAAGAAGAUAUAUUUUCUGUUUAGGUAUUUACUUAGGUUGUUUACUCCUAUUUUUUAUUUUCUUCUAUUUUAUAUACGAAAACAAAAAGAAAAGGGAAAAAGGAACUCACCGGGAGUCGCUCCGUCUUCUCGCCAUCGGAGACUCCUUCUCCCGUGACGGAACCGAUUGAAGAGAGGCAUAACGGCCUUUUCCCCUUUAUUUUCGAUUGUUUUGAGGCUAGAUCCGGACUCAGGGGGUCGAGAUCUAGAAAAUAAGUUUUUUGCCUUCGCCGGCCACCGUGCGCGGUGGCGCCGACGCCGGCGACCGGAGUCCGGCACGGUGGCCAUUAGCCGAAGCCAAGAUCAGAGGGAGGGGGCUAGAGAGAGUUUAGAGAAAUUUUUUUUAAUGAAUAGAUGAAGAAUGAAAAUUUUUAAAAAAAUUUUGACUUAAAUAGGGCCCAUGAAACGGCGUCGUUUUGAGCUUCAGCACCAAUAGCCAAAACGGCGCGCGUCGACCCGACCCGCGACCCAGGGUCCGCGUGUUUUUGUGCGGGUGGGUUAUUUACGUGCGCGGUCCUUCCGCUUUUGAAGCACAUUGCAAUUUGCCCCUUUUCGUUAUUUUCUUUUAUUUUUAAUUUAGCCUCAGAGUUUUAUUUUGGUUUCAUUUUGGUCUACUGCAGCACUACCUUUUGGGGCUAUGGUCUAUUUACCAUUUUGGUCCCCCUCUUUCGGCGAAUGUCACAAUUUACUCCUUUUCGUUUUUUAUUUUAAAUUCGCCCAAUAUUUUCAUUUUUAUUUCGAUUUAGUCUGCAUUUUAGCACUUUUAUUAUUUAAGUUUAUUAUUAUUAUUAUUAUUAUUAUUAUUAUUAGUGUUAUCAUUAUUAUUACUAUUAUUAUACUAAUAUAAUUGCUUCUAUAUAUAUAUGUAUAUAUGUGCCCAUAUGUACGUUUAUUUUUUUAUAUAUACUAUAGUUUAUAUAUGUAUGUAUUUACAUGCAUAUAUACAUUCUUACAUGUAUUCUCUUUUAUUUGCAUAAAUAUAUAUAUUUACAUAUCCUUUAUACUUCUAAAAUAUGUAUUUUGUAUAUACUCUUUAUAUUUUAUGUAUUCCAUAACUUUUUAUAUACAUAUAUACAUUCACUUACUUUAUGAUUUAUAACUUAAAUAUGUUUAUAUAUAUACAUGAACAUUUUAUUUCCUACUAUUUGUAUUGUUAUUGUUAUACUAUUUGAUAUUUAUUUAUUUAUUUAUUCAUGUGUUCGUUAUUAUUUUUAGGAAAUGCUUUAAUUAUCUCAUAUACUGGAUUUGUUAUUUUAUGUAUUUUAUUUCUUUUUUAUUAUUGCUUAUAUUAGUUUUACUUGUAUUAUCAUUAUCAUUGUGUCAUACAUGUUAAUAUUGCAUUUAUUCCUACCAUUUUAUGUUAAGUUAAUUUUAUUUAAUAUGGUUUUUAAAUAAAACUAAAUCUCGUAUUUAGAUUCGAGAAGGUCGUACCGUAACUUACUGGGUUUCGAUUUUCAUAAUAAAUCUAAAUACAUGAAUCUUUUCAAACUCAAGUUUUAAACAAUCUCGGGAAUUAAGAAAAGAUUGUGUCCUAACCUACUGGGCAUGAUCCAUUUUCUAAACUCGAGAUAAUUAAACAUCUUUUAAAUAAGUAAAUUUUGACAUUCAUUCGCAUAUCGGGAAUUCGAGACAUUGUGUCCUAACUUACUGGAUACGAUGCUUUCUUUCUCGAUUAAUGUGGAACGCGCCCCUUUUCCCAAAAUUUUCAACAUUUUAUUACAAGGAUCGUAUUUUUAAAUUUCUUUAAAGUUUUCAGCUUUUCGACACUAAGACAUUAAGUAAUCAACUAGGUACCAAUUUUGGGCGUAUCGAGGGUGCUAAUCCUUCCUCGUGCGUAACCGACUCCCGAACCCGUUCUUCUGAAUUUCGUGGACCAAACUUGUUGUUUUAAUAAAAUCAAACCGUUUAUUAAAAAACCCAUUUUUCGAGGUGAUCCAAUCACACCUCAUAAAAAAGGAUUGGUGGAGACUUCCGUUUCAUUUUUCAAAAUUCAAGUCGACCCCGUUUUCAUAAAAAAAUGGUGUCAACACUAAUAUAGUAAUUAUUAUACCUAUAAUAAAUUACCUAAUAUUAAUAAUUCAAUAUACCACUGGUUAUCUAAUGAAGUAGGGAUGUAAAUGAGAUACUGGUACUUGUAAGCUAUUCAAGUUUGACUAAAAAAAUUGAACUUAAUUCAGUAAUUGAUAAGCUAUAAAAGUAACAUAUUUUAAACACAAUCCUUAAUGCGUUUUUGGAUAAUUAAUUAUGCAAAUUAAUGAAUUUGAUGCUCCUAAUCCUUUAAAUUCAUGUUUCUAUACUUAGGAGAGCAUUUGGGAGUGAAAGGAGCAAAAAAAAACGAGCCAAAAUCAGACAAAAAAGAUGUUUUCAAGAUCCACGCGGCCUGGGCAUUUCCACACGGGCUGGCCACAUGCCAUGUGGCCAGCCCAUGUCGAUUUCGCACCCUGCUUCCAAAAUAAGCGGAAAAACUCAAUUUUUAGGCUUUCUAAGCAUUCUAAAGUCUAUAAAUGUUGUAAUAGAGCCCAAUCGACCCAGGCCCAGGAACAGUCCAACAAUUACAGGCCCAAAAAAUAAUAAACCAAACCCCAAAACAACCCUAGCCCAAAGCAAAAUAAAAAACCCUAGCAGAGUACACAGCUUUAGAGGAGUACACAGCUUUACUUCGGUGUUCGAAGGUUCAGGUGGAUAGAAUUUAUUCGAAAGCGGUAAAUGUACCAACUUUCUUGAGGAAGUUGAUGAAUAUAACAGGGAUGAGUGAGCAGUGGGUUACAGCUCGGAUUAAGCAAAAAGGGGAUAGUAGGUGUAUCCCUUGGAAAAGUUUGAAGGACCUCAUUUUAGCACACCCAGAUGUGAGGAAGAAAGUAGACGUCUUUGCUCUAAGUAUAUAUAGUUUAAUCUUGUUUCCUAAGAUUUUGGGACAUGUUGACGAGGCGGUCACUAAUUUAUUCGAUCGGCUUGAUAAGGGAGUUACACCAGUCCCAGUAAUUUUGGCAGAAACCUUUAGAUCAUUGAAUGCAUGUCGAAGAACUGGAGAAGGCAGAUUUAUUGGAUGUGCGCAGCUAUUACUUGGGUGGUUCCAUAGCCACUUUUGGAAGGUUGACAAGGUUUCAUAUCAGGUCUUCUCUGAAAGUUAUUCACCGUUGAAAGAGAUGGUGGCUACGUCAAGGAGAGAUGACAUCUCGGAGGAGAAAUGGAUGGUAAUCUUUCAGAGUCUGCAAGAAGAAGAUAUCCAGUGGAGAGCUCUGUGGUUGCUUCCAGAUGAGAUCCUAUAUAGGUGUGGGGAUUUCGACUGGGUUCCAUUGCUCGGGGUUUGGGGAGCUGUUGGUUAUGCCCCAUUGCUAGUGCUAAGACAAUACAGGUCAAGACAGUUUGUGCUUGCAACACAGGGGUUAGCCGAGUGUGAGUUCUCAUACAAGGAUGAUGGCUACAAGAGAAAGGCUCGUGAGAUGGCCAAUGCGUGGAAUCAGACUUGCCGAAUGAAGAGAUUAGCCGUGGGUCCAAUGACAACUUCAGAGUACAACGAAUGGUAUGUUAGGAGGAUUAAUGACAAUAUUCCCAGGCCAAGUGCAGAAAAUAGUCAGUCGAUAGAGGAGCAUUUGCGCGUCGUCCCUUCUGAGCUGGAAAUUGUAAAGCAAGACCUCGAAAGAAGGAAUGCAGAAUUAGAGAAGAAAAUAGAGCAAAUGGAGGAAGAAAAGGUGAAUUUAAGGUUGGACAUAGAUGUUUAAAAGUUAGAAAUCGAAGGCCUGAGAAAAGGGAAGCGCAAGGUCGAGGAAGAACUGAACAGCUUAAAGACUGAUUAUAAGAAACUACGUCUCUCAGUAAGAACUGCUGGGUUGGGAAAAACCUCAGAGCAGUGGUGUCAAGAGGUUCAAGAAGAAAAAGCCAAGGCUAGUAGAUGGGAAGAAAGAUUCCAAGAAGCCCAGAUACAAAACAGAUCACUCGAGAAGAGUUUGUUAGAAAAUCAUGAUGAAAGAGAUAAAUUAAAGGCUAGAGCGGCUGAACUUGAAAAGAUUGUUUAUCAAUACCGAAAUCGUAACUCAAUGGCGGAACUACAAGCAAGUUUAAACAGGAUUGAGCAAAUGAAGAAAACUAUAGAAGAAUUAGAGACAGCGUUGCAGAACGGUGAAGCCAGGAUUGGGUAUCUGGAGGCAAACAAAGAUCAUCAAAAUGAACAGCUUCACUAUCUCCAGGAUCAGGUCAGAAGCAGGGAUCGUGUUAUGGGACAGGCCUUGGUUCAGAUUCGAGAAGUAGCCGAUCACUUACAAACUCUGGAAGUACAAGCUGACACGUUGAGCGUAAAGUAUGAGUUGGAAUCAGAUCGGGGACGGGAGUUAGCCUCGUUGCUUCAAAAAAUCAAGGUCUUAAGUAUUAGGGCGAAGUCGUAUUUGUAAUCUAUUCUAUGUAAAGGGAUUUGUUUUCUAAUAAAGUUUUCCAAGUGGAAUUGAAUUAUAAUUAACGCCUUUCUUGCAUUCAUCUCAUGCAUUGCAUCAUAUGCAUUAAAAACCUUUAACUGGUCCUAAUCAAUUAAAAUUAUUGCUCAGUUAACCUGGAAACCAACCAAUCAACCUGACACCGAUACGGCACUCGAGCAAAGACAAAAGAUAUGGAUUAGAGACUAGAAAAGCUUGAACAGCACCAGAAGAGAUGCAAGACUGGCUUCAGCUACAAAUGCAGGAACGGUUAGACAAGAUGAACUAAGAGAUGUCUGAGAAGAUGCGGGAAUCUCAAGAGGACAUAGUGGCAAAGUUAACCCGAUUGAUAACAAAGGGAGGUGACAAAGGAAAGGGCCCCAUGGCAGAUGUCGACGAGGGAAAUGAUGAUAAACUUUUCUAUCCUCCAGGUUUCACCCCUCCGCAUGAGCGAGCUCAAGCUGAAUACCCGCGCAAACCUACUGUCACCAUCAUGCCUCAGUAAUUUCUAGCUGGUGUUUCGAACCUCCAAACUGGGUCGGAUUUUAAUCCGAUAACAAUCUCGUUAACUCUGCCAUCCCUGACUUUGAUGAGGUGGUUGAGAAGGAAAGAGUAAAGGAAGAGUUACCGAAGCAGUUGGAAGAAAGAUGCAGGUGGCUCGAAGAGAAAUUCAAGGCGAUGGAGGUUGCUGAGAGUUCUCGAGGCAUUGACGCGAAAGAGCUGAGUUUAGUGCCAGAUUUAGUACUCCCUCAUAAGUUUAAGAUGCCUGAAUUUGAAAAGUACAAUGGGACAAGCUGCCCAGCAGCUCACAUCACCAUGUUCUGCAGGCGAAUGACGAGUUAUGUUAACAAUGACCAACUCUUGAUACACUGUUUCCAAGACAGCCUUACUGGGGCAGCAUCCAAGUGGUACAAUCAGUUGAGUCGUGCCAUGAUUGGAUUAUGGAGGGACUUGGCACAAUCGUUCAUGAAGCAAUAUAGUCAUGUGACUGACAUGGCUCCUGACAGAAUCACCCUCCAAAACAUGGAGAAGAAGCUGAGUGAAAGCUUCAAAUAGUACGCGCAGAGAUGGAGGGAGGUCGCGGUUCAGGUUCAGCCGCCGCUCUUGGAAAAGGAGAUGACCAUGCUGUUCAUUAACACCCUGAAGGCACCAUUCAUUUCACAUAUGUUAGGAAGUGCCACAAAAAGCUUUCCUGACAUAGUCAUGAAUGGUGAGAUGAUUGAAAAUGCCAUCAGGAGUGGGAAGAUUGAUGCGGGAGAGAGUAACCGAAGAUCGUCCUCGAGGAAAAGGGAGAACAAGGUGAACAACACGAGCAUGUACAACAAGGGUUACUCGAAAUCAGUAACUGUGAGUCAGCCAGGAAAGGUGGCUGCCAGCCAGCAAAGCUCGUCAAGACAGGAGGUCGGUACAAGGCGAAAUAUUGAGAGACCCCAAUUCACGCCAAUUCCUAUGUCGUACAAGGAGCUAUACCGAAAUUUAUUUGACGCACACAUAGUUUCCCCUUUUUAUCUGAAGCCCUUGCAACCCCCGUAUCCCAAAUGGUACGACGCGAAUGCACAGUGCGACUAUCAUGCGGGCAUAACAGGGCAUUCCAUAGAAAACUGUACAGCCUUCAAGAAGAUGGUUGAAAGGCUCAUUGGUAUGGGUGCCGUUAAGUUUGACGACUUGACUAAGGCAGAGAACCCGUUACCAAACCAUACUGAUGGUGGGGUAAAUAUGGUAAGCGAAGACGGAGGGAUCAAGGCAGAUAUUACGGAUGUGAAGACGCCUUUGAGAAGGGUCUGGAAGGAGAUGGUGAAAAGGGGACUAAUCGUUUCAGAAGGAAGCUGUGAAAGGAAGAGGAAUCACUGCGAGUUCCACCAUGAAGUGGGGCAUGAAAUCCAAGAGUGCACGGGGUUUAGAGCCCUGAUACAAGGCAUGAUAGACAAUAGGGAGGUGAAAUUCUGUGAAGGAGUUCAAGAGGAGAGUGAUGUAUGCACGUCAGAGUUGGCGUCGGGGGUCCCGAAGGUUAACCGUCCUGUGGUCAUCAUCUCGUGACCUCAGAAUAGUGAGGCUGGGGCACGAAUAGCACCAAAAGUAAUCAUCUAAAAACUGGCUAUGUUUGCAUACAAGGAUAACAGGAGGGUUCUUUGGAAUUACGAUUGUAAUGUGACAAUCCCGGGGAAGGAAGAUAUAGUGAGCAAAGAUGAUCAGAAUGAAGGAAGGCACCGCGAGCAGAUGAAAGAUCGAGUAGAGCCAGUAGGAGAAGAAACUUCAACUGGAAAGAAGAAGAACGUGGUCGAACCCGAAUUGUUGGUCAAUGAACUAAUCAAAGAGGAGGAAGCUAGAGAGUUCUUGAAGUUCAUAAAGCAUAGCGAGUAUAGCGUUGUGGAACAGCUACACAAACAACUAGCUCGCAUAUCUAUGCUAGCUCUACUCCUGAACUCGGAGGGACAUCGAAAUGCACUACUGAAGGUGCUAAAUGAAACUUAUGUGGCCGACGAUAUCUCUAUUAACAAGUUAGAUCGACUGGUCGGCAAUAUAAGCGCUGAUAACUUUAUUUCCUUUAGCGAUGAUGAAAUACCACCUUGGGGUAUGGGAUCUACUAGAGCUUUACACAUCACUGCGAGGUGUAAAGGGAGUAUAUUAUCGGGAGUCCUGGUAGACAAUGGGUCGGCACUGAACAUAUUACCUCUAUCCAUGCUCAACAGGUUACCUAUGGAUAGUUCACAUAUGAAGUCAUGCCAGAAUGUGGUGAGAGCGUUUGAUGGCGCUUAAAGGAGGGUCAUGGGGAGAAUUGAUGUACCUUUGUUAAUUGGCCCAACUGUCUAUGAGGUAGACUUUUUGGUUAUGGACAUCAAGCCUUCUUAUAGUUGCCUAUUAGGAAGGCCGUGGAUUCAUUCAGUAGGUGCGGUACCGUCAUCGUUACAUCAAAAACUGAAGCUGGUGUUAGAGGGCCGGGUAGUGACGAUAGAUACUGAAGAGGAUAUCAUUGUAUCUGUGACUAACAAUGCGCCUUAUUUGGAGACAAGUGAUGAUGCAAUCGAGUGCUCUUUCCGCUCCUUGGAAUUUGUAAAUGCAACAUUCAUCCUUGAGGGAAAUAAGAUUCCGAUGCCGAGAAUAUCAAGGACCACAAAGAUGGGUCUGCAAUUGACAGUAGGAAAGGGAGCUUUGCCAAGAAAAGGAUUAGGGAAGUAUCUUCAGGGCAGAGUUGAGGCUCCAGUGUUGAAGGACAAGCAGGACCGUUUUGGCUUAGGAUACAAGCCAGAUGCUAGGCAGAGGAAGAUAGAGCAAGAAAAGAAGCGUGAGAGAAGAAGGGCUCGUCUAACAGGGGAUGAAGUUGAAUUGGAGCCCAUGACCUUUCCUCACCUAUCCAAGAUUUUUGUAUCGAGAGGAUUCCUCUAUCAAGGGGUCAGAAGUAUUAACACGGAGUUGGAGAGUAUCCAUGCCGUGUAUGAAGAAGCGAUGGGAGGAAGAACCUUGCGGGAUAUUCGUCCUUACGAGUCGGGAAGGGCGCUAAACAACUGGACUACAGAAGAAAUACCUGUAGUUUUUAGGAUUUCCUCAGAGUAAUGUACAGAACACCCUUAUUGCUUUUUAGCCUAGAAGUGAUAAGGAUUCCUUUGUGAAAUAGGCUCAUGUCUAGAAAAUUGUUAUUUUUAAUAAAGUACAUGUUUGCAGUCAUUCUUGGAGCAAAUCUUUCUUUCUAUAAAAGCAAUUAUUUUAAAUUUUUCCCAAAUUACACUUGCAUUUCAUUCAUGACCAUAUUCUUGAAUCCAUAUUGUUUUUAUAAUAGGUCUUACGAUAUCAAUGAUACGAAUGUCACUCUUACAAAUUUAGAGUCCCCUUUUGAACGAAACAUGUGUUUAGAGGGAUCACAUGAUUUUGAGGAUGACGAAGACUGUGGUUUGUCUCCUGACUUGUUGAAGAUGGUAGAAAUAGCUGAGAAGCAAAUCCUACCUCACAGGGAAUCAAUAGAAAUUAUGAGCUUGGAGGAAGGUAAAGAGGUGGAGAUUGGGUCGGAUAUCUCCGCAAAGACAAAAUAAUGCCUCAUCGAAUUACUCUGAGAGUUCAAGAACGUAUUUGCAUGGUCAUACCAGGAUAUGCCGGGGUUGAGUACCAACAUCGUAGUCCAUCGUCUUCCUAUAAGAGAAGAUUGCAAGCCAGUACAGCAAAAGCUCAGAAGGAUGAGGCCUGAUAUCGUGUUGAAGAUAAAUGAGGAGGUCCAAAAGUAAUUUGAUGCCGGAUUUCUGUAAAAGGUCAAGUAUUCUGAGUAGGUGGCCAACAUCGUACCAGUUCCAAAGAAAGAUGGGAAAGUAUGAAUGUGCGUGGAUUACCGGGAUUUGAACAAGGCUAGUCCAAAGGACAACUUCCUAUUGCCCCACAUCGACACAUUGGUAGACAAUACUGCGGGCUUUUCAUUAUUUUCCUUCAUGGAUGGCUUUUCGGGGUACAAUCAAAUAAAGAUGCAUCCUGGUGACAUGAGAAAGACUACGUUCAUUAUGUUAUGGGGGACGUUUUGUUAUAAAGUGAUGCCGUUUGGAUUAAAGAAUGUGGGAGCGACAUACCAAAGAGCCAUGGUAGCCUUGUUCCAUGAUAUGAUGCACAGGGAGAUCGAGGUUUAUGUGGACGAUAUGAUCGCGAAAUCCAGAACGGAGGAGGAACAUGUGCAGGUCUUGAGAAAAUUAUUCUUAAGAUUGAGGAAGUUCCAGCUCAAGCUUAAUCCAGCGAAGUGCACUUUUGGGGCCAGGUCAGGAAAACUAUUAGGCUUCGUGGUCAGUGAAAGGGGAAUCGAGAUUGACCUAGACAAAGUGAAGGCAAUACGAAAUUUACCUCCACCUCGCACUCAGAAAGAAGUUCGAGGAUUUCUCAGAAGACUGAACUACAUUGCUAGGUUCAUUUCACAACUAACCGAGAAAUGUGACCCUAUAUUUCGUCUUCUGAAGAAACGUAAUCCUGGUACUUGGGAUGAAGAAUGUGAAGAAGCCUUUAACAAGGUGAAGCAGUAUUUGUCUAAUACUCCAGUGCUGUCACCGCCUAGCCUGGAUAAGCCCCUGAUAUUGUAUCUGACAGUAUUUGAUAAUUCCAUGGGGUGUGUGCUAGGCCAACAUGAUGAAACGGGGAAAAAAGAAAGGGCGAUAUAUUAUCUCAGCAAGAAAUUCACUGACUGUGAAAUGAGAUAUUCGCCUAUUGAGAAAUUAUGUUGUGCCUUGAUUUGGACAACUCGGAGAUUAAGACAGUAUAUGUUAUACCACACGACUUGGCUAAUCUCAAGGUUAGACCCGUUAAAGUAUAUGAUGGAGUCAACUGCUUUGAAUGGGAGGAUGGCCCGAUGGCAGAUCUUGCUGUCUGAAUUUGAUAUUGUCUAUGUGAGCCAAAAGGUUGUGAAAGGGAGUACAAUUGCUGACUUUCUAGCUAGUAGAGCUUUGGAGGACUACGAGCCGUUAAGUUUUGAUUUCCCAAAUGAAGACCUGAUGUGUAUAGCCGCUACCGAAGAAAAUCCCCAAAAAGGUCACAGUUGGAAGCUAAACUUUGAUGGAGCUUCGAACGCUAUGGGCAAUGGAAUUGGGGCAGUCUUAGUAUCCCCAGAUGGUGAUCAUUAUCAUUUCACUUGCAAAUUGGAUUUUGAUUGCACAAACAAUAUGGCAGAAUACGAAGCGUGCAUCAUGGGUAUUCGUGCAGCCAUAGAGCGAGAAAUCAAAGUAUUAGAGGUCUAUGGAGAUUCGGCAUUGGCUAUAUAUCAGCUCAGGGGUGAGUGGGAGACGAGAGAUCCUAAAUUAGUCAGCUAUCGAAAGUUGGUCCUUGAAUUGAUUAAAGAGUUUGAGGACAUCACUUUUUGCUAUCUCCCACGAGAUGAGAACCAGAUGGCCGAUGCACUAGCUACUUUAACUUCCAUGAUCAAGGUGAACAGAUAUAAGGAUAUAAAGCCAAUCCAAAUGAGUAUCUAUGAAGACCCGGCUCAUUGUUGCAAUAUUGAAGAAGGAGAAAUCGAUGAUAGCCCUUGGUAUCAAGAUAGUCUACGAUAUGUAAAAAACCGUGAGUAUCCUGGCCAGGCAACUGAGAAUGAAAAGAGAACUCUGAGAAGGCUAGCCAUUGAUUACGUCUUAGAUGGGGAUAUCUUAUACGAGAGGGGAAAAGAUCAGGUUCUGUUAAGAUGUGUGGAUGCCGUGGAAGCAAAGAAAAUUCUGGAGGAAGUCCAUGAGGGUAUCUGUGGAACGCAUUCCAGUGGGUUCACAAUGGCUAGACAGAUUAUGAGAUUCGGGUAUUACUGGUCCACCAUGGAAGGGGAUUGCAUUAGUUAUUCCAAAAAGUGCCGUAAAUGUCAAAUCUAUGGUGAUAAAAUGCAUGCACCUCCUUCACCUCUUCAUGUCAUGACUUCUCCAUGGCCUUUCUCCAUGUGGGGUAUGGAUGUUAUCGGGCCCAUAUUGCCGAAGGCUUCAAAUGGGCAUCGUUUCAUAUUCGUAGUUAUUGACUACUUCACCAAAUGGGUAGAGGCUGCUUCGUAUGCUAACGUUACAAAAUCAUCAGUUAGCAAGUUCUUGAAGAGAGAGAUCAUAUGUCGAUAUGGAAUAGCCUGAAAGAAUCAUAUCCGACAAUGCGUUGAACUUGAACAACAGCUCCAUAGCAGAAGUCUGUAGUCAAUUCAAGAUCAGACAUCACAAUUAGUCGCCGUAUCGCCCAAAAAUGAAUGGUGCAGUGGAAUCGGCCAAUAAAAAUAUAAAGAAGAUUGUGGGAAAGAUGACUGAGACUUACAGGGACUGGCAUUAGAAGCUACCGUUUGCCCUCCUUGCUUAUCGAACGUCAAUCAGAACCGCCACCGGGGCAACACCUUUCUCCUUAGUUUAUGGCAUGGAGGCAGUCUUGCCCAUCGAAGUUGAAAUUCCUUCUCUCCGGUUUUGACUAAGCUACAAUUGGAUGAAGCAGAAUGGGUUCAAUCUCGAUACGAUUAGUUGAACUUGAUAGAGGGAAAAAGGCUAAAGGCUAUUCAGCAUGGUCAGAUGUACCAGAAAAGAAUGAUGCAAGCCUACAACAAGAAGGUCCGACCUAGAGAAUUUCAUGAGGGGGACCUGGUGGUUGAGAAAAAUUCUUCUCUACAAAAGGACUUUAGGGGGAAAUGGAUGCCGAAUUGGGAAGGUCCUUAUGUUGUAAAAAAGGCCUUUUCUGGAGGAGCCCUGAUCCUGGCUGAAAUGGAUGGAAGAAACUUACCCAAUCCAGUAAAUUCAGACUCGGUCAAGAGAUACUUUACUUAAAGAGGGGAAGGAACCAAGGUGAAAACCCGCAAAGGGCACUUUGUUUCCAAAAAAAAAAACGGAGAGGCUAAGGUGAAAACCCGCAAAGGGCACCUUAAGACCAGAGGGGAUUUAGUUGAAAACCCGAAAAGGGCGGCUCAAAUUUUGAUUGGCACAUGGUAGUCUUGCUGUACCUAAAUCGGUAGAAAGGAAUAGAUGACAUCUUGGGGCAUCAACAGACUACUGUGAAUCUCCUAAACACGUGUUGAGUUCAGAAGGGUCUUCGAAAGUNNNNNNNNNNNNNNNNNNNNNNNNNNNNNNNNNNNNNNNNNNNNNNNNNNNNNNNNNNNNNNNNNNNNNNNNNNNNNNNNNNNNNNNNNNNNNNNNNNNNNNNNNNNNNNNNNNNNNNNNNNNNNNNNNNNNNNNNNNNNNNNNNNNNNNNNNNNNNNNNNNNNNNNNNNNNNNNNNNNNNNNNNNNNNNNNNNNNNNNNNNNNNNNNNNNNNNNNNNNNNNNNNNNNNNNNNNNNNNNNNNNNNNNNNNNNNNNNNNNNNNNNNNNNNNNNNNNNNNNNNNNNNNNNNNNNNNNNNNNNNNNNNNNNNNNNNNNNNNNNNNNNNNNNNNNNNNNNNNNNNNNNNNNNNNNNNNNNNNNNNNNNNNNNNNNNNNNNNNNNNNNNNNNNNNNNNNNNNNNNNNNNNNNNNNNNNNNNNNNNNNNNNNNNNNNNNNNNNNNNNNNNNNNNNNNNNNNNNNNNNNNNNNNNNNNNNNNNNNNNNNNNNNNNNNNNNNNNNNNNAAACUCAUCGGCAUGUAUAUACCUUGCCCGCGUCCCAACAUGGGCGACGUGAGCUCUGGACCUUGAGUUAUGAGAUCAUCGCUCACAAACAGAGUUCCGAACUGGGUUAAAGACCAAAGCUUCCCAGGAAAACCCACCAUCGGAAGGGAAGUGGCGUUAGGACCACCUGCGUAGUCAUGUAAGUAGACGGUCAUCUUGGUUUCCUUAAUAACAACCUUAUCAUCUGCUGCCAAUAUGGUCGAGGCGAAUUUUAACAACAUCACCAAAAAUAUGGCUGAAGAAACUGGAAACACCAAUGAAAAUUUGGCCUUCGUUGCCAUGUUUCAAUAUCUAAGCAUAGCUUUGUUGAUGUGGAGAUUGGAGGCUACUAUCACAUGCUUUUUAUAGGAAAAUGUUCUGAAACUCAUACACCUAAUACCAUAUGCAUAUUCCCAAAGUCUGCUGUGUGUUUCUUAAUUACCUUAUUUUCAAAUCUCUCCAUUUCACUUUCCGUUUAAUUUGAAAUAGUUGUUGCCAAUUGGAGUACGCCCUUGUUACACUUCAAAAAAUUAGAUUUUGAACUCAAUAUGAAUACAUUCAAAUUAUAACAAAAAAAAAAACUCAAUAUGAACCUUUUUGAGAUUUGAUAACUAAAAUAUACAUACAAAGUUUUAAUUCAUGGAGAAGUUUAAGCCUUGAUUUUGUUUAUGAAGUUAAUUCAUGGUUUUGUUUUCAUUCAUGGAAAAUUUAGGCCUUGAUUUCGUUUCUAUUCAUGAAAAUUUUUAGUCUUGAUUUUGGUUUUAUUAAUGGAAAAUUUAAGUCUUGAUUUUUUUUUUAUUCUUGAAAUUUUAGGUCUUGGUUUUGGUUUUAUAUGUAAACCAUUAGAUUUUGUAAUUUUAAAUAUUAUAUUAUUAUUAUUUCAAAAAAAUAUAUUAUAUGAUUAUAUAAUAUCAUGAAAUGAAACAAGAAAUAGAACAUGAAACUGUAAGCAUUACUCUUUUUUUUUAAUGAAAUAUAAGCAUAACUAAUUGGCUUUAUAAUUCCAGCUUCAGCUUAUAAUUUCACUUUGUACUUAAUACUUUAAACAAAACUUGUAAAUUGACAUGAAAUCAUGAGUUUGAAUUACAAAAUUCUUUCCAUCUUGGGAUACAUCUAUAAUUUAUUUAAUCUAAUAUAUAUAUACACAUAUAUAUUUAAGAACUUUAAUGAGUUAAGAGUAACGCCAACUCAAUUAUAAAUUUAAAAAAAAUACUCCUUUUAAAUUCUAAUUAAAAAUGUUAUGAUGAUACACUAGUUUUUUUUUUAAAUUUUUAUAUCAUCUUUAAAUAAAAUAAUUAUAAAUCCAGAGAUUGAACACAUGUUCAACCAUAUAAAAAAUAUAAAUUUAUUUUCACUCUACAAAAAAUAUUUUCUUUUACCCACAUCGUGAGUGUGAUAAAAUGUAGGAAUAAUAUAUUUAAGAUUUUGAUGGAAUUAGUGUCACAUAUCAAAUGGAUCUCAACUAAAUCAUAAAGUUACCAGUAACCCAGACUUGAACUUUUAAGCUCAAAGUUUCUAAAAUCUUUUCCUUACUUAAUACAUUGGUCUCUUAUAAGUAUAGGAAAUUAUAGAUAGUAAUAUCUUUUUGUAACACCCCUAUCCUGGUCUAGACGUUACGACUGGAUCUUGGAGGUCAAAUUAAUUUCUCAAAACCAGUUUGUUUGUCUUCCAAAUCAUUGCUUAUCAAUUAUUUUGCAAAAACUUGUUUCUAUUUAUUUAUCAGAAAACCUAGCUAUACUAUAAUGACAUCUUUCAAAACAAUCCUCUUAUCUUCCAAAAUAGAAGAGUCAGAUUAUUAAGUUGAUUAUUUUUCUGAAAACUUAAUUUGUAGUUUGAUUCGCAGUAGAAAUUGAUUCCCCCCAAUUGUUGGGGAACCAGGGGAAUAAGCGGCAGCGGGCUUUUCUUUUAAGAGAGUUUAUUUUAGUCCUUGUUGUAUAUUUAUCAGCUUUAGUGUGAAUACGUUAUUGUUGUUCUCAAUGUAUAGAUUUAUUAGAUCUAGUGUGAACACGCUAGUGUGAACACGAAUGACGGGGCUGUUGGCUAUACCACCCAAACGUUACUUGCAGUUCUCAAUGUAUAUUUUUAUUAGCUCUAGUGUUGACACGAGUGAAGGGGCUUAUAGCCCCCUAGCGUUACUACUUUUGUUAGUUCUUAGUGGCUAGCCCUCCCGAGCGUUGCAUAAAGUUAGGUAGGGAGGGCGAUAGCCACACAAUGAGUUUAGGGUAGAGUGAGGGGACUAUUGGCUAUAGCCCCCGAACGAUACUUCUUUGUUCUAUAGUAAAGUUAAUUGUAUCAUGAACUAUUGAGUUUAGUAACUUAAGCCUCCCCGAGUUUACUAAAAAUUCGAUAGAAAACCCAAAAUAAAAUAGAAUUCGAAAAUUAAUUCAAAAGUCCAAUAAUCCAAAAAGUUUAUUUGAUAAUCAAUUCAUAUAAUCUUAUGCAAGUAAAACCAAUCCGAGCUCUCGUGUGCUUUCCAAUCCUAAGUUUGUUGAUUACCUGAGAGGAUAAAAAUAAAGGGUAAGCUAAUGAGCUCAGUGUGUAACUCAACCCAUACAAACAAAAUAGGUACAAAUAUAGUGUCAGAUGCGAAUACAUAUGUAGUCUAGAUACAAAUACAGUUACAGAUACAAUUAUAAAUACAUAUACAGAUACAUACGUAGAUACAGAUGCAAAUUCAAAUGCAGAUACAAAUCUUACCCCUAUUCGCUACACACCAUCUUCGUUUAUCCUUACACACCAAUUAGGGUAACGAAUACUCAUCCAACCCUACACGUCAAUAAGUGAGUGUAUGUCAUUUUUUGGAAUAGUGCAGUCGAGUUGCCAGAUUUAGUGUGGCAAUAUGCCAAUAUCAGAUAAGUGUGGUCAAGCCACCAGAAUUGUCAUUAAGCUGCCAGAACAAAUAUGUGGUUAAACCACAAUUAAGUCAUCUUGGGUUGCCCGACAACAAUGGCUUACUAAUAUCAAUAUGCAGUUAAACUGCCAACACUUCCUCGAUCACAUUAUUAUCUCACCCCAAUGCACAUAUCAAAACAUAUUACAUAUUCAGGUGCACAUAGUUGAAUCAUGCUUAAACAUACUUUUCAAAUUACAGAUUAGAUACAAAAAUUAUAACACAGACAUGCUCUCAGAUGUUACACAAAUAAUAUUAAUAUUUCAAAUUUCAUAUAUAAAAUUCAUACAUAUCACUCCACAACCUUACAAAGUAGCUAACCAUGAUGCACACUUAAAAUACGACCCAAACUAAAUUUUAUGAAGCAUGGACCCACAAACCCAUGUGGCCUACACGGCCUAACUAGCCCAACUCGUGUGGCCCACAUGCCCCACUUAACCCAAUUCGUAUGGUCCACACGGCUUGGCACAUGGUGAUGUGGCAUCGAUAGAAUGCUUUUCAGCUUUACAUCAUUCGUUGUUUUUCGAGUUUAACGUUACACACUUGACCUUUUUUGAUGUCGUCACAAUAGCAACAAUUCUAGGACCCUAAAACAACAUUAAAACGACUAACUAACAACCAUAUCAAGUCCAAAUAAUUACUUGUCCCUUACUCGAUUAGAGUCCAUAAACGUAGGGCAAUUCACCUGAACAUAUAAGUAUAGUCCCUAAAUAAGGUACACAGUCCCUUACCCUUGAUAGAGUGCCGAUGACAACUUUAGUUUGUCGGAGGGGUGUUAUCCGCUUCCUGUUUUACACCUAGAUAGAAACACAAAAUAAUAAACUCGACAUGAAACUUACUAAAUGGACACCACUAAUCAUAACCUCCAAUUCACACGCUAUCCGAAUGGAACACUCAUUCCUAAAGGAGAAAGAAUAGAAACACUUAUGAACAGAUGUGACCACAAUACUGAACACUUUCGAGUACUCACAACUGACACAUAAAGAACUUGAGAUCAACACUCGAACAAUGAAAUAAGCAACAAGAAGAGUUGCGAACGUGCAAUAUGGCAACCGAAAAAGAAAAUGCGAGAAUAGCCAAACAAAGGGAGAAACUAAAAUGAAGAGAAAUGAAUUAGAGAGUGAAAGAGUGAGGUGGUUGUUAUAGUAUCAUAUCUCAAAGACUUUGAAAUUGACCCACUUCCUGAGUCAUGGACGACAUAGCAGAGAGUAACAAAAAAAUAAAUAAAAUUCCAUCGUUGCACUCAACAAUAUUGGAACACAAGAUCUCUAGGAAAGCUAAAACCUUAGCAUUGAAUCAACAAACUCAUUCUUAUCCAUAAACUAACAAAAAUAAAAUAUAACUUAUUUGUGACGAGUCAAGUGUAUGAAUAAAAACAAUAAAAAAUCAAGGGAAGAGAUUUGAACAUAGGACCUCUCACAUACAAGCAGAAUCGUUAAGCACCUGUACUUUAGAAGAGUGAGCAAAACAAACCCUCUUGUUAAAAUUUGAUGUUUAUAUAUAAGGUAUAAUAACAAAUUUAGCCGUCAACUUUUACAUAUUUAUUCAAUUUUACCCCUAUUCUUUAAUGGGAAGUAAAUUAGACAUUUUUCAAACUAAUAAGGCUAAAGGGUCAAAAAGGUAACAAAUUUUUUAAAAAAAUUAAUUAAGCCUUUUAAAAUUUAAAAAUUAUAAAUUUUUUAUUAAAAAAUUUAAUAAUAUUGGCCCAAUAAAAGAGUAGGGGUCAAAUUUUUUAAAAAUCUCAAUAAUUAGAUUUUAAUGAGUUUGGUAUUUUUUUUUUAAUUAAAAUUUUUAUAAUUUUAAAAUUUUUAUAACUUUUUUAAAUAUUUAUGUUUAUAAGUUCUAUGAUAUUUUGAAAUUUAGUAUAAACAGAGGCAAAAAAUGGUUACAUAUUAUAUUUGGUUCUAAACAGAGGCAAUAGCACUGUGGUGUUAAAGUUUUAGGUACCUUUGGAGUCAAAAUGUAGAAACUAGUAUGGUUGUGGUUGUGCCUCUCAACUCCCUUCCACAAACUAAAUAAAAAAGGGAACACAAACUAGAAGAACUAGGCUGUGAAAUUGGUAAAGCCAAUCAUUUCUAACAGCCCUCCUUUUGGCAACAUCUAAGAACAUACAAAUAACACAAAAUUCCAGGUUCACCAAUAUUGUGAUAAUAAUUUAAAAGAAAUGGUUGUUCAUCUAAGUAUCUUGACUAAGUAGCCUUUACGCAAAGCAAUGGAUUACCACUUCUUAUUAUUUAAUAAUAAUAUUAAUAAAUAUUAAUAAUAUUAUUAAUAAUAAAUUUUAAUUAACUCAAUCUAUGGAUUCCCUAUUAGAUUUGAUUCUAAUACGGUAGAUUUAUGUCGUCCUAUUUCUAGGAUUGCAUGCAACUCUACUCAAUUAUGCUGAUCUACUCUUAAAUAGGGACUUUUGCUCUGCUGAAAUAAGCACAUUAAACAUGAGUUAAUAUCACGAAAAUAUUAAAACAAGAAAUAAUCAUACAUAAUCGAGAACAAGAAUCAAGUAUUUAUCAUGUAAAUCAGAAGUCAAAUAAUAAGAUUCAUCGUAGGUUUCAUCCUCCCUAAGUAUCUAGGGAAUUUAGUUCAUAAUCUUGAAUAGAAACAUCUCAAAGUUAGGAUAACCACAAGGCAUAACGAAACUCAAUGAAACUUCGAAAGAAAUUAAACGGAGAUCUUUGAUCUUGAAGGAGAUCCGCCUCUGAGUUGAUUCUGAUGACGUUCUUUGAGUGUUUUCUUCAAUCUUCUCUGAUUGCCCUUUUAGGUCUUCUUCUAAUUGGCAUUUGUCGAAACCGUUUUUGAAAACAAGAAUUUAGUUUUCGACUUUAAAAAAAAAACAAAACUGGAGUCGCCACCGAUCCUUUAUUUGGGUAUGAUCGGCCCACCUUAAAAACAAUUUUGGUCUGCGCAAUUUGAGAAAACAGGCUCGGGAGUCGGUUACGCACAAGGAAGGAUUAGCACCCUCGUAACGCCCAAAAUUGGUACCAAAUUGAUUUUUAAAAUGCCUUGGUGUCGAAAAAUUUGAAAAGAUUUUAAAAGGAAACUUUUAUUUUAUGAAUGGAUUAAAAUAAUAAGACAACUCCUAUUUCAAAUAAAUAAGACACCACACCCAGUAAGUUAGGGCACAAUGUUUUUAAAUCUUCAAAAUACCCGAAUAUUGCCUUUUGUUUUUUUGAAAAUUCUUAUUUCGAGAAGAAAAUGUCAUGACCAGUAAGUUAGGACCCAACAUUUUAAAUUCCUGAGAAUAAGUUUUUAUUUAAAAUUUGAGUUUAUUGUAAAACAAAUGCUUGGCAUUCUAAAUUCAUCGAAAAAUAAUCGCGAUCCAGUAAGUUAGGACACAAUCUUUUACGAGAAUCAUGAAUGUCAAACAUUUUGAAAUUAUAAGACAAGAUGAUUUAAACUCCUUGAGAAAAUCAAAAAUAUAUUUUUUAAAAUGGAUGCUGAAAAGGGUUAAGGUAAAACAUGGAACGGAUACCCUAAUUUCAAACAGAUAUAAAUAAAUAUUUAUAAGUAUAUAUACAAGUACAUUAUAUAAUUAAAUUUACAAAUGAAAUGAAGGAAUGAAAUACAUCAAACCAAAACAAUAAUAAAAAUGCAUGUAUAUAUGUGUACGAAAACUAUGAAAAUAAAAUAAAGAUAAAAGAAUGUAUGUGUAUAUAUUUACAAAAUAAAAAAAAUAUAUAAGUAUAUAUAAAAUACAGAGUAUAAAAUAUAUAUAUAUAUAAACGUAUAUACAAAAAACAUAUAUAUAUUUAAAAUCUUUUAAAAAGAUAUAUGUAUGUAUAUUAUCUAAAACAUGCGUGUAUAUAUAUAGUAAUUAUAAUAAUAAUAAUAAUAAUAAUAAUAAAUAAAUAAAUAUUUUUUAAAAAAAAUAAAAAAGGGAAAAAAAACUAAAAUGGACCGAAUUGAAUUUAAAAACAAAAAAUAGGGUGAAUUUUGAAUAAAAUUUAAAAAGAAAAGGGGCCACUUGAACACGCGCGUAACCCCGGAGGACCAAAACAGCAAUUUACCCAGACCUCCAAAACGCGGCGCAGAAGGGGACCAAAUUGAAACGGGAGUCAAAUAUGCGGCCUAAUUUCUAAAAUGUAAAAAGGAUUUAGUUAAAAAGCGCUGAAAAAUGGAAGAGCCAAUUGCACAAAUAUCCCCAAAAUUCAAAACACGCGGAUCCUCCCCGGGUCGGGUCAGCGCGCGGGUCACACUAGGCUUGAAACGGCGCCGUUUUGAUCCUUUAUUUAAAACCAAUUUUUUUUCCUUUCAAAAACCAUUUUCAACUGUAAAAGAAGAAAAAAAAACUUAGAAAACCUAUGGGCGCUCUGCUAGGGUUUAUUACCCAAGCCUCCUCGCGCCGCCGCCGCUCUCAAACAACCGGCCGGUCCAAAUUCCGACCGUUCAAGACGAAGCAAGCUUCGGGUUUCACCGGCCAUACCAUGCAGGUAAGCCUCUUCCUUUUUCUUUUAUUAUAUUUAAAAAAAAACAAAUGAAAUGUAUAAAAAAGAAAAAAAUACAAAAAAUAGAACCCGAUUUCACCUUGAAUCUGAAAAAAAAUCAAUCUGUAUUCUCCGAAUUUUCUAUUUCUUGCGUAUUCUCUCUGUGUAUUUUCACUCAUACAUCCUCCCUUUUUUUAUAGAUUUCAAUAGCCCUUUUAUAGGCUGAAAAUAAAGAAAAUAAAAUAAUCUAAAUGCUGUUUUUGCUGUUUAUUCUCUCUGGGACUCUCUGAGUCCGUGUUUUUGCAGGUGACGUGCGUGGAGAGGGGUCGAUCUCCGAGUUGUGCGGCGACUGGGAGUUAGGCGCGGUGCGGGGCUGUUGGGUGCGCCUGAAGGCUUGCUGCGGCGCUCCUUAGGGCUAGGGUUUUUUAUUUUGCUUUGGGCCAGGGUUGUUUUGGGGUUUGGUUUAUUAUUUGUUGGGCCUGUAAUUGUUGGACUGUUCCUGGGCCUGGGUCGAUUGGGCUCUAUUACAGCUGCCCCUCUUUGCUCGUUGUCGUGUAACGGGAACAGAGCAAAGACUAAAAGGCCCAAUCGUGCCAGGUCUUACUAUGCCUCGACCUCUUCAGUGCUUUUCUUCUUCAAGUAGCUUUAUUCCUUCCUACUGCAUCUUCAGAGGUAUAGGAACUAGCACUUUAACCCACUCCAUUGCAAUGUCAGGGAGAUAGGGUUCAUACAUUGUAACUUUUCAAAAGAACAAAAUUUGCUAUAUUUGAUCUGCUCCACUGCAACUUCAGGGAGAUAAGACUUAUAGCUUCCGCUUGUUCUGUUACAACUUAAGGGUAAAUCUAAUGUGAUCUGCUCUGCUGCAACUUCAGAGAGAUGAGAUCUGUGGUUUUAAUCCACUCCAUUGCAAUUUCAAGGAGAUUGGAUUAGUUACUUCUGUCUGCUCCACUGCAACUUCAGGGAGAUAAGACUUGUAUCUUCGAUCUACUUCACCACCAGUAUGGGAAGACAAGAUCUGCUUUCUUUGAUCUACUUCACGCCAGCACGUGAAGACAAGAUCUGCUUUCUUCAAUCUACUCCGCCACCAGUAUGGGGAGAUGAAAUCUGUAUAUUCGAUCCACUUCGCUACCAAUAUAGGAAGACAGGACCUGCUAUCUUUGAUCUACUUCACGCCAGUACAUGAAGAUAAGAUCUGUUUUCUUCGAUCUACUCCACCACCAGUAUGGGGAGACAAGGUCUAUUUUCUUCAACCUGCUCCACUGUUGCUUAGGGAGACAAGGCUUUAUGAUUUCACCAAUCUGCUCUCUGUGAAACAUGACCUGUAUGAUUCACUUUAUGAGCCUAAUUAUGCCUAAAGAUUAGGAUGUUAUGAUCAGAAUGAAUCAGAUGCUCCUAACUAGGCGUGUAUGGAUGAUAUGUUAUGUCAUGAAAAAUGAAUAUUGAAUAUUUAAAGUCAUUAUUGCUCAUUAAGGCUUCCUUCGUGGCAACAACGCUUCGUCAAAACUUGAGAAUUUUAAUCUUGACUCUUAACUCCUAGAUAACUCUGACAUUUUAACCCGGUGAAGGUCUAAACAACAGUCCUGCUUUAGGUUCCUGAGCUAUUAAAGAUUUCUAGAGUAAUAUGAAAAACUUCCCUUGUAAAAGUUUUGCUAGUCUAUUAAUCGUUACUCUAAUGCAACAUGUUUGCGAAAAGAUCAUGACAAUGAAUAAAACAAAAUAAAUUUGAGAGCAUAGCUCGCAACGGUUUGUCAAUAAUAGAGGAAUUAUCUGGGGAUAUUUAUAUUGAAGAAGAAUGGAAUAUUCUAAAACAACGAAUUCAAUACAAAUAUUAUGAUUAGGUGCCCCAAAUAUCUCUGCUUGAACUUCUCUAUACAACUUUCGAAGACCCUUCUGAACUCAACACGUGUUGAGGAGAUUCACAGUAGUCUGUUGAUGCCCCAAGAUGUCAUCUAUUCCUUUCUACCGAUUUAGGUACAGCAAAACUACCAUGUGCCAAUCAAAAUUUGAGCCGCCCUUUUCGGGUUUUCAACUCAAAUCCCCUCUGGUCUUAAGGUGCCCUUUGCGGGUUUUCACCUUAGCCUCUCCGUUUUUUUUUUGUGGAAACAAAGUGCCAUUUGCGGGUUUUCACCUUGGUUCCUUCCCUUCUUUAAGUAAAGUAUCUCUUGACCGAGUCUGAAUUUACUAGAUUGGGCAAGUUUCUUCCAUCCAUUUCAGCCAGGAUCAGGGCUCCUCCAGAAAAGGCAUUUUUUACAACAUAAGGACCUUCCCAAUUCGGCAUCCAUUUCCCCCUAAAGUCCUUUUGUAGAGGAAGAAUUUUUCUCAACACCAGGUCCCCCUCAUGAAAUUCUCUAGGUCGGACCUUCUUGUUGUAGGCUCGCAUCAUUCUUUUCUGGUACAUCUGACCAUGCUGAAUAGCCUUUAGCCUUUUUCCCUCUAUCAAGUUCAACUAAUCGUAUCGAGAUUGAACCCAUUCUGCUUCAUCCAAUUGUAGCUCAGUCAAAACCCGGAGAGAAGGAAUUUCAACUUCGAUGGGCAAGACUGCCUCCAUGCCAUAAACUAAGGAGAAAGGUGUUGCCCCGGUGGCGGUUCUGAUUGACGUUCGAUAAGCAAGGAGGGCAAACGGUAGCUUCUCAUGCCAGUCCCUGUAAGUCUCAGUCAUCUUUCCCACAAUCUUCUUUAUAUUUUUAUUGGCCGCUUCCACUGCACCAUUCAUUUUUGGGCGAUACGGCGACGAAUUGUGAUGUCUGAUCUUGAAUUGACUACAGACUUCUGCUAUGGAGCUGUUGUUCAAGUUCAACGCAUUGUCGGAUAUGAUUCUUUCAGGCAUUCCAUAUCGACAUAUGAUCUCUCUCUUCAAGAACUUGCUAACUGAUGAUUUUGUAACGUUAGCAUACGAAAUAGCCUCUACCCAUUUGGUGAAGUAGUCAAUAACCACGAAUAUGAAACGAUGCCCAUUUGAAGCCUUCGGCAAUAUGGGCCCUAUAACAUCUAUACCCCACAUGGAGAAAGGCCAUGGAGAAGUCAUGACAUGAAGAGGUGAAGGAGGUGCAUGCAUUUUAUCACCAUAGAUUUGACAUUUAUGGCACUUUUUGGAAUAACUAAUGCAAUCCCCUUCCAUGGUGGACCAGUAAUACCCGAAUCUCAUAAUCUGUCUAGCCAUUGUGAACCCACUGGAAUGCGUUCCACAGAUACCCUCAUGGACUUCCUCCAGGAUUUUCUUUGCUUCCACGGCGUCCACACAUCUUAACAGAACCUGAUCUUUUCCCCUCUCGUAUAAGAUAUCCCCAUCUAAGACGUAAUCAAUGGCUAGCCUUCUCAGAGUUCUCUUUUCAUUCUCAGUUGCCUGGCCAGGAUACUCACGGUUUUUUACAUAUCGUAGACUAUCUUGAUACCAAGGGCUAUCAUCGAUUUCUCCUUCUUCAAUAUUGCAACAAUGAGCCGGGUCUUCAUAGAUACUCAUUUGGAUUGGCUUUAUAUCCUCAUAUCUGUUCACCUUGAUCAUGGAAGUUAAAGUAGCUAGUGCAUCGGCCAUCUGGUUCUCAUCUCGUGGGAGAUAGCAAAAAGUAAUGUCCUCAAACUCUUUAAUCAAUUCAAGGACCAACUUUCGAUAGCUGACUAAUUUAGGAUCUCUCGUCUCCCACUCACCCCUGAGCUGAUAUAUAGCCAAUGCCGAAUCUCCAUAGACCUCUAAUACUUUGAUUCCUCGCUCUAUGGCUGCACGAAUACCCAUGAUGCACGCUUCGUAUUCUGCCAUAUUGUUUGUGCAAUCAAAAUCCAAUUUGCAAGUGAAAUGAUAAUGAUCACCAUCUGGGGAUACUAAGACUGCCCCAAUUCCAUUGCCCAUAGCGUUCGAAGCUCCAUCAAAGUUUAGCUUCCAACUGUGACCUUUUUGGGGAUUUUCUUCGGUAGCGGCUAUACACAUCAGGUCUUCAUUUGGGAAAUCAAAACUUAACGGCUCGUAGUCCUCCAAAGCUCUACUAGCUAGAAAGUCAGCAAUUGCACUCCCUUUCACAGCCUUUUGGCUCACAUAGACAAUAUCAAAUUCAGACAGCAAGAUCUGCCAUCGGGCCAUCCUCCCAUUCAAAGCAGUUGACUCCAUCAUAUACUUUAACGGGUCUAACCUUGAGAUUAGCCAAGUCGUGUGGUAUAACAUAUACUGUCUUAAUCUCCGAGUUGUCCAAAUCAAGGCACAACAUAAUUUCUCAAUAGGCGAAUAUCUCAUUUCACAGUCAGUGAAUUUCUUGCUGGGAUAAUAUAUCGCCCUUUCUUUUUUCCCCGUUUCAUCAUGUUGGCCUAGCACACACCCCAUGGAAUUAUCAAAUACUGUCAGAUACAAUAUCAGGGGCUUAUCCAGGCUAGGCGGUGACAGCACUGGAGUAUUAGACAAAUACUGCUUCACCUUGUUAAAGGCUUCUUCACAUUCUUCAUCCCAAGUACCAGGAUUACGUUUCUUCAGAAGACGAAAUAUAGGGUCACAUUUCUCGGUUAGUUGUGAAAUGAACCUAGCAAUGUAGUUCAGUCUUCUGAGAAAUCCUCGAACUUCUUUCUGAGUGCGAGGUGGAGGUAAAUUUCGUAUUGCCUUCACUUUGUCUAGGUCAAUCUCGAUUCCCCUUUCACUGACCACGAAGCCUAAUAGUUUUCCUGACCUGGCCCCAAAAGUGCACUUCGCUGGAUUAAGCUUGAGCUGGAACUUCCUCAAUCUUAAGAAUAAUUUUCUCAAGACCUGCACAUGUUCCUCCUCCGUUCUGGAUUUCGCGAUCAUAUCGUCCACAUAAACCUCGAUCUCCCUGUGCAUCAUAUCAUGGAACAAGGCUACCAUGGCUCUUUGGUAUGUCGCUCCCGCAUUCUUUAAUCCAAACGGCAUCACUUUAUAACAAAACGUCCCCCAUAACAUAAUGAACGUAGUCUUUCUCAUGUCAUCAGGAUGCAUCUUUAUUUGAUUGUACCCCGAAAAGCCAUCCAUGAAGGAAAAUAAUGAAAAGCCCGCAGUAUUGUCUACCAAUGUGUCGAUGUGGGGCAAUAGGAAGUUGUCCUUUGGACUAGCCUUGUUCAAAUCCCGGUAAUCCAUGCACAUUCAUACUUUCCCAUCUUUCUUUGGAACUGGUACGAUGUUGGCCACCUACUCAGAAUAUUUGACCUUUUGCAGAAAUCCGGCAUCAAAUUACUUUUGGACCUCCUCAUUUCUCUUCAACACGAUAUCAGGCCUCAUCCUUCUGAGCUUUUGCUAUACUGGCUUGCAAUCUUCUCUUAUAGGAAGACGAUGGACUACGAUGUUGGUACUCAACCCCGGCAUAUCCUGGUAUGACCAUGCAAAUACGUUCUUGAACUCUCGGAGUAAUUCGAUGAGGCAUUAUUUUGUCUUUGCGGAGAUAUCCGACCCAAUCUCCACCUCUUUACCUUCCUCCAAGCUCAUAAUUUCUAUUGAUUCCCUGUGAGGUAGGAUUUGCUUCUCAGCCAUUUCUACCAUCUUCAACAAGUCAGGAGACAAACCACAGUCUUCGUCAUCCUCAAAAUCAUGUGAUCCCUCUAAACACAUGUUUCGUUCAAAAGGGGACUCUAAAUUUGUAAGAGUGACAUUCGUAUCAUUGAUAUCGUAGGACCUAUUAUAAAAACAAUAUGGAUUCAGGAAUAUGGUCAUGAAUGAAAUGCAAGUGUAAUUUGGGAAAAAUUUAAAAUAAUUGCUUUUAUAAAAAGAAAGAUUUGCUCCAAGAAUGACUGCAAACAUGUACUUUAUUAAAAAUAACAAUUUUCUAGACAUGAACCUAUUUCACAAAGGAAUCCUUAUCACUUCUAGGCUAAAAAGCAAUAAGGGUGUUCUGGACAUUACUCUGAGGAAAUCCUAAAAACUACAGGUAUUUCUUCUGUAGUCCAGUUGUUUAGCGCCCUUCCCGACUCGUAAGGACGAAUAUCCCGCAAGGUUCUUCCUCCCAUCGCUUCUUCAUACACGGCAUGGAUACUCUCCAACUCCGUGUUAAUACUUCUGACCCCUUCAUAGAGGAAUCCUCUCGAUACAAAAAUCUUGGAUAGGUGAGGAAAGGUCAUGGGCUCUAAUUCAACUUCAUCCCCUGUUAGACGAGCCCUUCUUCUCUCACGCUUCUUUUCUUGCUCUAUCUUCCUCUGCCUAGCAUCUGGCUUGUAUCCUAAGCCAAAACGGUCCUGCUUGUCCUUCAACACUGGAGCCUCAACUCUGCCCUGAAGAUACUUCCCUAAUCCUUUUCUUGGCAAAGCUCCCUUUCCUACUGUCAAUUGCAGACCCAUCUUUGUGGUCCUUGAUAUUCUCAGCAUCGGAAUCUUAUUUCCCUCAAGGAUGAAUGUUGCAUUUACAAAUUCCAAGGAGCGGAAAGAGCACUCGAUUGCAUCAUCACUUGUCUCCAAAUAAGGCGCAUCGUUAGUCACAGAUACAAUGAUAUCCUCUUCAGUAUCUAUCGUCACUACCCGGCCCUCUAACACCAGCUUUAGUUUUUAAUGUAACGAUGACGGUACCGCACCUACUGAAUGAAUCCACGGCCUUCCUAAUAGGCAACUAUAAGAAGGCUUGAUGUCCAUAACCAAAAAGUCUACCUCAUAGACAGUUGGGCCAAUUAACAAAGGUACAUCAAUUCUCCCCAUGACCCUCCUUUAAGCGCCAUCAAACGCUCUCACCACAUUCUGGCAUGACUUCAUAUGUGAACUAUCCAUAGGUAACCUGUUGAGCAUGGAUAGAGGUAAUACGUUCAGUGCCGACCCAUUGUCUACCAGGACUCCCGGUAAUAUACUCCCUUUACACCUCGCAGUGAUGUGUAAAGCUCUAGUAGAUCCCAUACCCCCAGGUGGUAUUUCAUCAUCGCUAAAGGAAAUAAAGUUAUCAGCGCUUAUAUUGCCGACCAGUCGAUCUAACUUGUUAAUAGAGAUAUCGUCGGCCACAUAAGUUUCAUUUAGCACCUUCAGUAGUGCAUUUCGAUGUCCCUCCGAGUUCAGGAGUAGAGCUAGCAUAGAUAUGCGAGCUAGUUGUUUGUGUAGCUGUUCCACAACGCUAUACUCGCUAUGCUUUAUGAACUUCAAGAACUCUCUAGCUUCCUCCUCUUUGAUUAGUUCAUUGACCAACAAUUCGGGUUCGACCACGUUCUUCUUCUUUCCAGUUGAAGUUUCUUCUCCUACUGGCUCUACUCGAUCUUUCAUCUGCUCGCGGUGCCUUCCUUCAUUCUGAUCAUCUUUGCUGACUAUAUCUUCCUUCCCCGGGAUUGUCACAUUACAAUCGUAAUUCCAAAGAACCCUCCUGUUAUCCUUGUAUGCAAACAUAGCGGGUUUUUAGAUGAUUACUUUUGGUGCUAUUCGUGCCCCAGCCUCACUAUUCUGAGGUCACGAGAUGAUGACCACAGGACGGUUAACCUUCGGGACCCCCGACGCCAACUCUGACGCGCAUACAUCACUCUCCUCUUGAACUCUUUCACAGAAUUUCACCUCCCUAUUGUCUAUCAUGCCUUGUAUCAGGGCUCUGAACCCCGUGCACUCUUGGAUUUCAUGCCCCACUACAUGGUGGAACUCGCAGUGAUUCCUCUUCCUUUCACAGCUUCCUUCUGAAACGAUUAGUCCCCUUUUCACCAUCUCCUUCCAGACCCUUCUCAAAGGCGUCUUCACAUCCGUAAUAUCUGCCUUGAUCCCUCCGUCUUCGCUUACCAUAUUUACCCCACCAUCAGUAUGGUUUGGUAACGGGUUCUCUGCCUUAGUCGAGUCGUCAAACUUAACGACACUCAUACCAAUGAGCCUUUCAACCAUCUUCUUGAAGGCUGUACAGUUUUCUAUGGAAUGCCCUGUUAUGCCCGCAUGAUAGUCGCACUGUGCAUUCGCGUCGUACCAUUUGGGAUACGGGGGUUGCAAGGGCUUCAGAUAAAAAGGGGAAACUACGUGUGCGUCAAAUAAAUUUUGGUAUAGCUCCCUGUACGACAUAAGAAUUGGCGUGAAUUGGGGUCUCUCAAUAUUUCGCCUUGUACCGACCUCCUGUCUUGACGAGCUUUGCUGGCUGGCAGCCACCUUUCCAGGCUGACUCACAGUUACUGAUUUUGAGUAACCCUUGUUGUACAUGCUCGUGUUGUUCACCUUGUUCUCCCUUUUCCUCGAGGACGAUCUUCGGUUACUCUCUCCCGCAUCAAUCUUCCCACUCCUGAUGGUAUUUUCAAUCAUCUCACCAUUCAUGACUAUGUCAGGAAAGCUUUUUGUGGCACUUCCUAACAUAUGUGAAAUGAAUGGUGCCUUCAGGGUGUUAAUGAACAGCAUGGUCAUCUCCUUUUCCAAGAGCGGCGGCUGAACCUGAACCGCGACCUCCCUCCAUCUCUGCGCGUACUGUCUGAAGCUUUCACUCAGCUUCUUCUCCAUGUUUUGGAGGGUGAUUCUGUCAGGAGCCAUGUCAGUCACAUGACUAUAUUGCUUCAUGAACGAUUGUGCCAAGUCCCUCCAUAAUCCAAUCAUGGCACGACUCAACUGAUUGUACCACUUGGAUGCUGCCCCAGUAAGGCUGUCUUGGAAACAGUGUAUCAAGAGUUGGUCAUUGUUAACAUAACUCGUCAUUCGCCUGCAGAACAUGGUGAUGUGAGCUGCUGGGCAGCUUGUCCCAUUGUACUUUUCAAAUUCAGGCAUCUUAAACUUAUGAGGGAGUACUAAAUCUAGCACUAAACUCAGCUCUUUCGCGUUAAUGCCUCGAGAACUCUCAGCAACCUCCAUCGCCUUGAAUUUCUCUUCGAGCCACCUGCAUCUUUUGGUUAUAAUGGUUGUAUUCAGUUAUUCCUCUUUUAGCAAUCUACUAUUCAAUUCUCCUCAUAUCAAAACAAUUUUUUUUUGCUCUUGAAUAUUAUGAGCUUUUUACAUAUCUCUUACUUUCAUGAUGAUAUUUUUUUGAAUUUUCUUUUGACUUUCACAAAGAGGUGGUGUCUGGUGAUGUACUGAUAUGAAGUUCCUUUGUUCCUGUCUUCAAUAGGGAAUCCUUCUGCAUCAAAGCCCGUCAAUCAAGGAUCGUUGACAAUUUUAGGUCUGAAUCUCACCUUGCUUCCUUUUACAAAGAUGAGUUUUUUCACUGACAAAAAGGAGGUUCAGAGAUCUGCAACUGCCUUGGGAUAUGUUGCACAUGUGCGUUCUAUUUCUUCUGUGAAGUUAUCAUUUAUUACUGAAUUUGUUUUUUCUGAUAAUAUCAAGCUGUGGAUAUCAAGUUUUUUGACCUACCACCUACAAUCCCUUGUUGCUUGAAGAUGCUGUAGUAAUUUUUAAUUGCUAGGAUGGUAAUAUGGUAUAGUGGGUUGCAUCUUGAUUGUUUGUUUCUCAUGCUGAGGCUAUAAUUUUAAUCAUACCUAUUAUUGUUUCUUGUUUCCUGUUAUUUCAUCAUUUGCAGGCUGUUUCACUAAUUGCAUCCUAUUUACAAGUUCCCUUGCGUUAUCCUCUGCGCUUGGGUGGUUCUCGCUCAUAUAUUAAUGACCAUGCGUCUUCAAUAGACCCUGCAUCUUCUGAUUUGUCAUUGGAUACAACACUUUCAGCAAAUGUAAAGCUGGCAGAAUUUCCGCUGUUUUUAGAAGGUCAAGACACGACAAGAGCAGCAUAUGCUGUUUUCUUGUUAAACAAGGUAAGCUUUUGCAUAUUAGUAAUUCUUUUUCCAAGAUGAAUUAUUCUCCUUUGGCAUUUUUAUGUAUAGUAUUGGAUUCAAAUGGUCUGCAAAGUUAGCUUGUCAAUGCUCUUCAAUCCACAGGUUGGAAAAACAGUGCAUGUUUGUUCGUCAGCAUUUACAGCUCAUUUUAUGUCAUUGAUAGUGGAUAAUCUUGCUUCCAUCAUCAUUAAUAUCAUGGUUGAAUUGUUUGGAAGAUAUUGGAUUUACAAUAUCUAGGUUCUUGUGAUAGACACUUAAGACUAUCUAUAAACUUCACCGGCAGAUUAGGUGAAGGAUUAUCAACAAAUUUGAAAAAUGUGAUGAAGUCCCACCAUGCAUCUAAAAGGAGGUCCAGCACUCGAAUCCCAUUCCCCAUAACUAAAAACUAUGUCACUGUGACUUGGUCAUAUCUCCAUAUCCAUGUUCGAAGUCGGACAUGGGUAGUUAAAGAAAAAUGAAGAGUUGAUGCAUGAUAGACUAAGGACUAGUUCAAAAGUGCGUUUAGAAAAAAGUGUUGUUGAAAUGUGGUGCGGAAAAGUAUGUUUGUUAGUUUUUAGUGUUGUUCAUUACUGCCAAAAAUUGCAGUUGAAAGUUAAAAUGUCUUUUUUAGACAUGAUGGUAGAAAGAAAAAAAUUAGUCAAGUUAUAUGAUAUUUAAAUAAUUUAAUAUAAUGAUACAUGAAAUAUAACUUUUAAAUACCUUUUAAGUAAUUAAUAUAAAUUAUUUGUAAAAUUGAUGAUAUAUAAAAUAUUUUGAAAAAAAUUAAAUAUAAUAAUAAAUAAGAUUUAAACAAUUAAUAUAAUAAUAUAUAAAAUAUAAAUUAAUCUAAGAGUAUUUUUAUAAUUUUCACUUCGAAAUGCAAAAGCCAAAAGCAGUAGGUUUUUGACUGCAAAAGCUAUGUGUUCUUCGUCACUUCUGCAGUGGAAAAACACUUCUGCAGUGUAAAAACACUUUUAACCCAAACAGGCUUUUUCACCACAGUAGAAAUAGAAAAAGGAAGGACCAAACAUUUUUUCUACCCUGUUUGUCUCCUCUUUGAAAAUACUUUCCAAAAAGUUUUUUUUUUUUUCUGUUUACAAUGCCUUAAAUGCUAAUUCCUUAUAGAGUGCUUUCUUUUGAUCCACUUGCAUCAUUGUAAUAAGUUUGCAUUGCCUUUUAACUUUCUAUGUUGAUUAUCUUUUAUUAAGUUUUCUGUUGGAUCUUAUAGUCAAAUUCCUUUACAUUAUGUAUGUUAAUUUGCUUAGCCAUGAUUAAUGUUAGAUAUAGGGUUAUCAGCUAAUUAGGAAAGACUGUGAUGAUAGUCACACCUUACAUCCAAAAGCAAAGCUUUUUAUAUGUGUAUGUAAGGUUGCUAAGCAAAUCUGAUGAGCCUUCACUGAUGUUUUCAGGUUAUGUUUAUGUUCCUUUUCGGCAAAGAACAUUAUCGAGAUCACAGUAUUUUGAUUGCCUUUUGCUUGUUAUGUUAUUCGUUCUGAAAAGCUUGCAUAAUCUUUACUGUGAUUGCAGGAUAUAGAGCAACUUUUGAAUUUCAUCGGUGUAAAGAGUUUAGGACCACGACAUGUUCUUGCAAAUUUGAAGGAGCUUCUAAGGUCUGUCCAGUCUUCAGAAUAUAUAGAUACCUGAAUUAAUUUUGAUUUUGUAGGAUCAACUAUAAUUAGCUACUUAUUAGAGAAUGAAUAGACAACCUGACCUUCUUCACACACGACACAUGUGCGGAUUUUUUACCAAUCCCAUUUCAUUAAAGAAAAAAAAGAGCUUUAAAAAAAGAUCACACUUUUUUGUUGUUUACAGAAUCAUAAUGUUAAUUAGAGUGGAAUAUUUCAGCUUUCUGAUGAUGAGCAUAAAUGGGUGUGGAACUUAUUUGAACUUUGAAUGUAUGUUUUGUUGGUGAGAAUAUAAAGUUGAUAAAGAUUUGGUAAAUAGAAUAAAAUACUAUUUUUUAUUAGAAAAAUAUUUGGUACACUGCCAAUCGAGUUAUAAUUAUCAUGACACAAUAUUAAGGGUAAGUAAAACAUGUCAUAUUACAAAUAAUAAAAUUAUAAUGACUCAAAUAUACGAACAUGUUAAAAUUUAUGUACAAAGAAUUAUUAACAUGUAAUGUAUAUUACGGUAAAUUUAUGUACAAAGAAAUUUAUGAACAUUGUGAAUUGUUUUAACAUGUUAAAAUUAAACAUGUUAAUUUCUUUGUACAUAAAUGUUAGAAUUAUUAACAUGUAAAUUGUUAUAACAUAUUAUACAAAAUACAUUGUGAAUUAAAGCAUAAUAUGAACAUGAUAUCAAAAUAUUAAUUUUUUUUAAAAAUUUGAUGAUACGAAUAAUUAUGUAAAAUAUAACAUGAUACAAAAUAACUUGAGAGGAAAAGAGGAAUAAAGAAUUGCAUUGUUUGUGAGGUUUUAAAAUAUUCCAGUUUUAGAUUCAAUUUUCUAAUAUGUUUGGUUUAAUUUUACAUUAGAUUUUCUUUUUAGUAUGCACUAGUGAACGCUUGGCAAUUAAUUUAAUUUAAUUUAAAGAGAUAUUGCAUAUACAUAAUAAUGGAUUAUGAUUUUACAUUAAAUUUCACAGAAAAAAAAGAAAUAGAUGGUUGAAAAUGAUAAAACCAUAAGAUAAAAGAGCUUUUAUUCAAAAUGCAAAAAUCAACAAAAUUCAUUAUCGCUCAACUUAGCAUAAUUAAACAUUUAGGUGUGGAAAUCAAAUCACAAUUUGAGUAGCUAAACACAUCGCUUGAAAAUGUGAUAAGUAAGAAAAUUGCCCACAUUUGAGUAGCGACAGGUGGUAAUGCAUUUCCCAACAAGAGAAAACCAAGCUCUUCGCCAGUAUGGAUUUAUGUAGAGGACAACAAAAAUUGUCAACAAUACAACUACAUAAGAAACCAAAAAGCUCACACAAAAAUCAUAAGUAUCUAUCAAACCAUCUUCUCCUUUAUCUUCUGAUACAGUUGAUAUCGUUGAUGGUGAAUCGGUUUUGGAACAACUUUUAUGCAAUAUAACUCCACAAAGAAACGGAUUUCCCUCAUAACUAUUUUCAAUAAAGGUCCCAAAUUGAGCUUUUGGUUCGGGAAUACUACCUGACAAGUUGUUAAAUGCCACGCUGAAAACCUCCAAAGAGUUCAACUCCACCAAUGGAUUGGGGAUUUCACCACUCAAGUUGUUGUAAGAAAGGUCCAAACUCUCAAUUUGAUGAAGUUUUGAGAAUGACGAGGGUAUAACUCCGGUCAACUUAUUGUGUGAAAGGUUUAAAGAAUGGAUUUCACUCAAGUUCCCUAAUUCUGGUGGGAUAUGACCAGUUAAGUUGUUGCAAGAUAAAUCAAUCCCGGUCAUAUAUGAAAGGAUGUUGCCCUUGUACAAAAAGAGCCCACUCUUUGUUGUGAACUCUAUUACUUCUUCUAAGUAGCUAUCAGGAUAGUAAGAAUCCAUUGGUGUUGUUUCAUGCUCUUCUAUAAAUGUCACAUAGAACCCAGUUUCUAGAAUCUUGUUCGUUUGCAUUGGAAGAGAUAAAUUUCCCAAACAAGAAGGUAUAGGACCAGAAAACAUAUUUUGAGAAAGAUAUAUGAUGCUUAAAGAAUGCAACUUGCAUAACUCAACAGGAACUUUACCAUGAAAAUGAUUAUCUUUCAAGAGAAGAACACUCAAAGAAGAAAGUGUGUAAAUCCAUUUUGGAAUACUACCUGUCAAAUUGUUUCCUCUAAGAUCUAAAGUCACUAUCGAAGAGCUAUUAUAAAAAGCAAGUGAUAGUGGGCCUCUCAGUCUAUUCCCUUGGAGGUGGACAUGCUCUAUGUAUGGUGGAUUAAAACAUGACGGUAUAGAGCCAGAUAAAUUAUUUUGAGAAAGAUCCAAAAAUUCCAACCUAUUCAACUUGCAAAAUUCCAUUGGAAUAGAACCCUCAAAACUAUUGUUGGACAUAGCUAAUCUCCCCAAAAAAUGCGUUAAUUAAAAUUCAAUUCCACUCAGAAAACUUUACUAGAGAAAAAAUUUCUUUACAUAAAAUGUCUAUAAAUAAGGCUUUGCCCUAACACUUAGAACUUUAAUCUCCCUAAGUAAUGAUGCCAACUUCUUCAAAAAGGUUGGAACAUUAGCAGCUCUUGAAUAGGCUUUGUCCGCUUGAAUUUUUGAACAACGAAGCAAUGCCGUGUAUUCCUCCACUGUAGGCACUAAAUCAACACUUCCAAAGGUGAAACAACAAUAAGCAGAAUUCCAAAAUUGGGCUAAGGCACGGAACAGACGCUUAUCCACCUUUACGUCGAGCAAGUAUGGUAGGUCUCCAUAGCUAGAGUAGAAGAGUUGCUUAAUCUCAUCAUUCCACUGAUCCCAAAUUUCCUUUAGUUCCUGUAGGCUAUUCUGAGUCACGCUAACACGAGUGAAGUCCCACAACUCUGACACAUACCCCUCGGCCAAACUAUCACCUUUCUCUUGUUGUAUUGUCUCAGACCAAGUUUGGACAGCCGCAUUAUCUUCCACCUUAUCAAGAAACCCUUUUUCCAUGAUAAGCUUUCUAUCUAGCAACCGAAUAUGAACUAACGCCCUUUUAGGAUGAAAUGCUAUGCAAUCAUGAUGUCAUGUAAUCAAAACAAAAGAAACCCAAGUCAGUAUCACAUAUAGAGAUAUAAACAAACAUAAAAUAGCAAGAAACACUUAAUCAGGAAUCCACUAGGGUUUUGGGAUAGUUCUACCUGGGUCAAGUUCCUAAGGCUCACUAUAUGAGGCUUAGUUUCUAGAGUAAGGGCACCCGAACCAAUAGAUUCCUCGAUCUUCACCCAUUAUAGGCUCAUAUAGAUCGAGUUCAGUUCAGGGGGAUACAUUUCCCUAUGGCUGCACGGAGAUGAAAAUCUCACGAAGACAUAAGUACGGAUGUAUCCCGAAAGCGGUCCACUACCUUGAACGGAGGUGAAAACCUCACGAAGGACUAGUUUCUCGCUCCCACUUAAAGGGUAAAAUGCACAAUGCAAAUGCAAAGUUUCCAACAUACCAAGAUAAAAAAAAUGCGAAGGGAACUCAUGUAUUUUUUAAAACUUUUGAUUUUCGACACAAAAACAAAUAUAAUCAGUUUAUGGCUCGACUCUCAAGUCCCCAGCGGAGUCGCCAAGCUGUCGAAACCAUUUUUUUGAAAACAAAAAUUUUAGUGUCGACUUAAAAAUAAAAACUGGAGUCGCCACCGAUCCUUUAUUAAGGUGUGAUCGGCUCACCUCAAAAAUUAUUUUGGUCUACGAAUUUCGAGAAAACGAGUUCGGGAGUCAGUUACGCACGAGGAAGGGUUAGCACCCUCGUAACGCCCAAAAUCGAUACCAAAUCAAUUAUUUGAUGUCUUAGUGUCGAAGGCUAAAAUAUUUUAAAAUCAACUUAAAUGAUGAAAUUUGAAAAGAAAAAAAACGAUAAUCAAUUGUCCGAGUCAUGUAAAGAAAUCGAGUCCCAAUACGUUAGGGUACUAUUCCUCAUCAUCCUCGAACUUUGAAUAUCACUUUUAUUUUAUGCGAAAAUCUUCAUUUCGAGAAGGUAACAUGCCACGCCCAAUACGUUAGGGCACGGCAAAUUAAGUUCCCAAAAUGAUUUUUUGGUGCUCGUAUUUAAAAUAAAGAAUAUUCUUGAUUAUUUGAAAUCAACAAAGAAAACCGGAACCCAAUACGUUAGGGCUCAAUUUUCCUUGAAAAUCCCAAAACCUUGAGUAUUGUUUUUAUAUACAAAAAACCUUCGAAUCAAGAAAAUAACUUUGAUGUACGGUUAAAACCAUAAUAUAUUUUCAAAAAGGGGUAUAUCAAAAGUUAAUGUAUAAUAUGAAGCAAAAACUUUAAUUUAGAACGUAUAUGAAUACAUAUUUGCAAACAUAUACAAAUACAAUAUAACGAUAAAGCUGCAAACAUGAGUAUGCACACAUUUAACACUCAUAUACAAACAUACAUACGUAAAAAACAAAUGAAAUAUGUAAGGCGAAAGACUUAUAAUAAUCUCGAAAACUAUGCAUGAAUACAUAAAUAUAUGAAAAUAAGACAAAAGUAUAAGAAUACGCAUAUGUGCAUCUAUUUACAAAAGAAAAUAAAAUGGUAUAAGUAUAUGUGCAUUGGUAAGGUACGAAAUUAUGUAAAAAUACUUAUAUGUAUGUACAGUAUGUAUACAAAAAAAAUGAAAUAGAAUAGUAAAAAAAUAUUUUUUGAAAAAUGUAUAUAUUAUAGGAAAUGAAUGUAUAUUUUAGAAUAUGUAUGUAUAAAAAAAAUUAGGAAGAAUAAUAUAUAUAUAUAUAUAAAUGCGUAUACAUAUUUACAAAUGUAAAGAAAAAUAUUUGAAACUAAAAAUAUAAAAGCAUAUAUAUAGAAGUUGAAAAAAAUAAAAAAAAACACAUGUAUAAAGUAUAUAGGUAGGCACGUAAUGUAAAACAUGCAUAUAUAUGUAUAUAUAUUAUAUAAAGAAAAUAAUAUGUGAAUACUAUAUAAGGAAAAUGCAUAUAUAUAUUAUAUAAAAAAAUGCAUUUGAAUGAACAUAGAGAUAAUGAUAGUAACAAGGAUAAUAUAUAAUAUAAUAAUAAUGUUUUUUUUAACAAAAAUAAAUAAAUAAAUAAAUAAACAAAUAAAUAAAUAAAAAUAGUUCAAAAAGAAAAAGUGGAUUAAAUUGAACAAAAGACGAAAAAAUGGGGCAAAUUUAAAAACAAUAAAAAAAUCAAUUCAAACACGCGAGCGAUAAUGGGGGACUAAAAAGGAAAUAAUUCCUUCCCUUCCAAAACGCUGCGCAAUGUGGUAUCAAAUUGAAAUAAAAAUGAAAUUCGCGGCCCAAAUUUUAAAACAAAUAAAAAGGGUUUAAUUGACACGUGCUGCAAAAGAGAGGGGCUAACUGCGCAAAUUCCCCACCUGACGUCAGAGCGCGUGGAUCCUCCCCUUCGGGUCGGGUCACCGCGCAGGUCAGGCCUGGGAAAACGGCGCCGUUUUGAUCCGUUAUUUAAAUCAAUUUCCUUCCUCUAAAAUCAUUUGAAAAUUGAGUAAAAGAAAAAAAUAAAAAGAAAAAGAAAAAACGCCCUCUGUUAGGGUUUCGUUUUUUUGGCCCCUUUUUGCACCACCGCCGCAACUGGUCUCCGCCGCGCUUUCGCCGAUCGGAGAUGCGACGCGAUGGGCUCCGAAGGUAAAUUUCUUCCCUUUGUUUUUGAUAAAAGAAAAGAAAAGAAAAGAAAAGAAAAUAGGCUAAUUAAAUAAAACGCAAAUCACCUUUAAACAAAACUUUGUAUUCUCAAUAUUUUUUCCUUUUGUAUUUCUCUGUAUUUCUUUUUGAUUUUUUCUAUCCCCCUGCCUUUUUUACAGAUUUUCAAAGGCUUUUAUAGCCCGAAAAAGAAAAAUAAAAUCGCAUCUAUCUAUUAUUUUGCUGUUUUCUCUCUGUUGGACUCUUUGAGUUCGUUUUGUUUGCAGGUGUCGUGCGAGCGAACGGCGCACGUUGAGAGGCCAGCCCCGAGAUGUGUGGCGCUUGGGACGUCUGCUGGUGACUGCUAGGGGCUUGCGGCGCUAAACAUGAAGCUAGGGUUUGGGAAAUUUGGGUGUUAGUUAUUGGGCUAGGGUAAUUUAGGUUAUUGGGUUUGUAUCUGUUGAUGAUAUUGGGCCAUGUAAAUGGGCUCUUUAUUUGGAUUUUCUUUCUGUUUUGGUUUAUUAUUAUUUUUACCAGGCAACAAUUGGUAUUACAUAUUCAUUAUUAUACUUCAAACGAAACAAGUACGCUUUGUUCAAAGUAUUAUACUCGCGAUUGAUCAAAAGAGAAUUUUUUUUUAAAAAAAAUAAGACAAUGUUUUGUUUUUAGAAAUUCGAGAAAGUCGUGCCCUAACUUACGGGGUUCCUAUUUUCUCGUAAAAAUCUAAACGACCAAACAUCCUUCGAAUUUAAAAUACCCAAGUUUUAAUUAAAGGCAAACUUAUGUGUCGUCAUUGGAACCUCGAGAAAUCAUGCCCUAACUUAUAGGGUUUUGAUUUUCUCGUCGAACCAAAACGACUAAAUUUUUUUAUUAUUUCAAAAUAUACGGAUUUUUAAUAAAAUUAAAGGCGAGCUUGCACUCAAGGGUUCAAAUGUUGUAUCCUAACUUAUGGGAUACGACAUUUUGUUAUCCGCGAGACGAGCAAGUCUUUUAUACUCGUUAAAAUUUAUUCAAGUUUUUUAAAAUAAUAUUGAUAAAAAGGGGAAUCGUAUUUUAAAAUCUUUUCGGAUUUUCGACAUUCAACUUUAAGACAUCAAUUAAUCAAUUCAUUACCAAUUUUGGGCGUCACGAGGGUGCUAAUCCUUCCUCGCACGUAACCGACUCCCGAACCUAUUUUUUCUGAAUAUCGUAGACCAAAAUCUUUAAAAUUACAAGGUGAUCCGAUUACACCUCCAUAAAAGAUCGGUGGUGACUCCAAUCUUUGUUUUCUAAAAUCGACAACUAUUUCCUUUUCAAAAAAUGGUUUCGACAUUUAUUAUUAAAAGAAUUAUAUAUUUUAAGCUAUCAAGAUUGACUAGGCUUGAAAUUUAAUUUAUUUUCAUAUACAAUAUUUUAGCUAGAUUUGAGUUUUAACUUGAAAUUUUUAUUGUCUGUUGACACAUUUGAAGACAAAGUUGGUUCUGUGGUUGAAAUAGUGGUCAUACCUUUAGGCGUUAUUUCAUUGUCUUACUUGCCUAUUUUAAGACUUGGGAAAUUUUAAAACAAAAGCUUUAAACUAUUGGUUUUGAAGAUAUUUGGAUGAGUAAAGCUAAUAACAUGAAAAUCAAUUGGGUUGAAAUUAAAUUGGAGAGUGGUUUCUUACUACCAAAGUAAAAUGCUUGUCAAACAAGGAAAGUCUCUUUUCAUAGUUUGAAGGCAUUGGAUUGAAUUGGAACUCUUAUGAAGUAAUAUCUUAUGCUAGUUUUUAGCUUCUUUAUAAAGAAUUGUUUAGAUUGUAAUUCUAAUGUAAACACAAGUUAAGUAGUAUACAAACUUAAGUUUUGCCAAGCUUAAGAGACAAAUCAAGAGGCUAAGAACUUGAUAGAGUACAAAGUUGUUCAAGGAAUUGUUUAUGGGUGCAUUAUUUUUAUAAGUAAUCAAGAGAGUUUCUUGAGCUGCAAAACUAAAAUUUCAAGGGGUAAGCUUAGAGGGAGAGUGAUCUAGUCUUUGUACAAUGAUAAGGUCACUAAAUUGGUGAGUGUUAAACCAUUGUUAGGAUUUAAAUCAUUUGUUGUACUGUGAGAAAGAUAAUGGACUAUUGUUUUGGGAAAGACUUUACAAAUGUAGAUUGAAGUUGAACUGCGUAAACAAUCUUGGAUAUCUUUAUAUUUUAUGUAUUUAGUUUCAGUUUGCAAAGCAAGUACCCCUCGUUUCUACAUUAUCUUAAUCAAUAAUAUAUCCUAAUUAAAUUAAAUUUUGAAAUAUUAAUAAUAAAUUUAAUUAAGAUGUAUGAACUUAUUGAACACUCCGGUUAGUGCUUGGUUUUCAAUGUUGUCGUUUGUAGUUGACAUUUCAACCAAAAGUACGACUUGGACAUAAUAUCGUGUAAUUUGGGUCAUAAGAAUUUUCCCUCCUAUUAAUUAUUAUUAUCAAAUAUUAGGUUUAAAUAUUUUAUGAUUUUUUAAUAGAACGAUUUGUGUUACUUAUGAUUUUGUUUAAGUUUGUGUUUACUUUGUUAAAUAUAAUUUAUGGAUGUGAUAUAAUUCAAAUUUCAAGGUUGAUUUGAUAAAAAAAUAUGGUUUAGAUUCGAAAUUGUUAAUUAAAUAAUUAAAAAGUUAACAUUGUUAUUUUUAUGUAUCAAAGUGUAUAACUUUUUUCAAAUACAUGUAUGAAAUUGAACAAAAAAUAGUAUAGGUACCACAUUAAAAAAAAACAAAUCCAAUACCUAGUCAUCGGUCGUGUUGUACCAAGCCGAUGCAAAAUGUUAGGCCCAUUUACUAGGCUUGUAAGCCCAUUUGCUAGGCUUGGACUCGACCUGAAAAAUGAGUUUAAAAUUUUGCCUAAGCCUAGUCAAGAUAAAAAAAAAAAGUUAAACUUAAGCCCAGCUCGGCCCGCCUGUAUCAACUUUCUUUAGAUUAUUUUUUAUAUAAAAAUAAAUUUAAAACAUUAAAAUAAGGUUUCUCAACGAAUUGAAAAUAUAUUUUUUUAUACUUAAAUAACACUAACAUAGUUGCAACUUAACAAACAAAUGCCUCUAAAAUAGUAACAAAAUUAACAAUAAAAUAAGAGUUAUGCAAUAUCCAAAACAAUAACACUCGAUAUUAAAAUAUUAAUAAUUUUUUAAAUAUAUAAAAUAUAACAUGAUACAAAAUAACUUGAGAGGGAAAGGGGAAUACAAAAUUGCAUUGUUUUGGAGGUACGUUUUAAAAGAUUCAUUUCUCUAGUGUGUUUGGUUUGAUUUUACAUUAGAUUUCUUUUUAGUUAUGCAUUAGUGAACAUUUGUCCGUAAAUCUAAUUUAAUUCAAAGAGCUAUUGCAUUUACAUCAUAAUAGAUUUUUUUUUUUACUUUAAAUUUCAUUAAAAUAAAAGAGAGAAAUAGAUAGUUGAAAAAUUAUAAAAUCCAAAGAUAAAGAGUUUUUAUUCAAAAAUGCAAAAAUCAACAAAAUAUUCCUUAGCGCUCAACUUAGCACACUUAAAUAUUUAGGUAAAAUAUGAGAGGGUUCGGGUAAAAAUAUAAGCCCAAAAUAUGGGUUUGGGCAAAAAACGAGGCCCGUUUAGAAAACGGGCCGGACCUCGGGAAAUUUUUUUUCCCAAAUAUAAUAAAUAUAUAUAUAUUUUAAAUAAAUUUCUCAUUUCCCCUCCCCAUUUCCCAUUUCCUAUUUCCCUAAGCCAUUCCCUCCCCCUUUUUUAUUUUUAUUUUAAAAUUUUUAGUUUUUAUAUUUAAUAUUUUAAAUUUAAAUUUUAAUUAUUAGUAUUGUUAAAUUUGUUGAUAUGAUAUUUCAUGAGCAAGGGUUCUACUCUAAAAUAAAAAUAAAAAUUCUUUUUUAAACUCUUUAUAAUUUAUAAAAUUUUAAAAUAGUAAUGGUAAAAUUACAUUUUGCCCCUCAAAUAAUAAAAAAAGUUAAUUUAAUCUUUUAAAAAUUAUAAAAAUAUAGGUUAUUAAAAUGGUAAAAUCAAUUUUUUCUAUCAUAAAAAAGGGUCGGGUUGGGCCGGGCUUAGUAUUUUUCCCCGGGCCACCGGGCCUAGGAAAUGGGCUGAAAUUUUUUUCUGGGUCUGGCCCGAACCCAGCCACCUCUACAUCUAUGUAUAUGGUAAAAUGCAUUUUUGGUAAGUAUUUUAAUAUUCGGUUAAAUUCGUUUGAGGUAUAUAUAUGGUGAUAAUCCAACACAAAAACACCCUUUGCUCAAAAUAGACUUUUCAUUUUUGGUGAAGUAUUUUAAUAUUCGGUUAAUUUAUAUUUUUGUACCCGCAAGUCAUUCGAAUUCGACUCAAAAAUUUUAUUAAUGUAUUCGGUAAAUGAAUAAUAACACCAAAUUUCAUUAAUGUUAGUUUGUCUCUUUUCGGGAUCAAAGAUAAAUAAUAAAUUUUAUAAAGUUAAAACUAUAACUUUUUAAUUAUAUUAAAAUAUAAUUUCAUAAAUUUCUUUAAAAAAAUGGUGUCUUUUAAAUUUUUAAUUAAAGUAGUAAUUCAUUAACUCAAAAUAUUGAUUUUUUUUAUUUCUCAAAAAUAUUAGCGUAAAUAUGAUAAUUAAUCUUUCGUACUCUAUCAUCUAGGUAUUGGUAAAGUCAAAUCCAACUUGAUUGACCAAAAAAGUUUAUGUGGUGUAGAAAAUUUUAGUUUUGUGGAAAAAAGGAUGUUCUACGAACUAAUUGGCGGCGGUCACAUUGGGUUUGGGAAUUUUAAACCUUUGAAAUUUGAUUGCAAAAACGUAUACGUACACAAUUUUAUUUCUUGAAAUUUUAAUAUUUUCUUUGAUACUGUUAAAAUGAUAGUUAUGAAUAUUAAGGAUAUAUAUAUAUAUUUUAUAUUUUUUCUUGGUUUUUCAUGCAAUAUGAGUAGAUUUCAAUUUUUUAAUGAUAACAUUAUAUACCGCACUAAAAUAAAAAAAAUAUAAUAUUUAGAAUUAUUCAUAAUUUCUCCCGAAUUUUUAAAUAGAAUGAUAAACAACUCGAAUCCACAUUUUCAUGUAUUGACAAUAAUAUUAAUACCAAUCAAACAAGAUUCAAUUAGCAAAAUAAAAAUAUGAAUAUCCGAAAGUUUUUAUAAUUUUUGUGUUGAUUUAUUAUUAAAAAAUUAUAUAUUUUAAGUUAUGACUAGGCUUGAAAUUUAAUUAUACAAUAUUUUAGCUAGGUUUGAGUUUUAAAUUGAAAUUUUUAUUAUCAGUUGAAGGUUGAUUCUAUGGUUGAUUGUGUGCUUGAAACAAUAGUCACUUCUUUAGGUAUUGCUUCAUUGUCUUACUUGUUCAUUUUAAGAUUACGUUAUUGAUUUUUGAAAAUAAGAGUUGAUAAAUUUUAGAAUAAAAGCCUUACGUUAUUAAAUUUUAGAGGGAGAGUAUCUAGUCUUUGUACGACGGUGAGAUCGGUAAAUUGGUGAGUGUUAGACCUAGUUAAGACUUAAAUAAUUAGUUGCACUACGAGAAAGAUAGUGAACCAUUGCUCUGGGCAAGACUCCACAGAUAUAGACUCGGUAGCGGAUCCAAAAAUACGACUUAGGGGGACAAACUUUAAAAAGGGGUUGGUGUUUUUUUGGGGGGGUUUAGGGGGGCAAAAUUUAAAUUUUUAGGGGGUUUAAUGUAAUAAAGUUGAUCUUAAGGAGGUGCUAUGUAAAUUUCUAAAACAUUGCCCCCACCUGCCCCCCUUUAUAUCCAUCAAUGUGUAGAACAAAAUCAAACUACAUAAAUAAUCUCGGUGUUCAUUGUUGACACCAUUUUUUUGACAAAAUGGGGUCAACUUGGGUUUUGAAAAAUGAAAACAAAAAUGGGAGUCGCCACCAAUCUUUUUUGAUAAGGUGUGAUCGGGUUACCUCGUAAAACGGUUGUUUUUAAUAAACGGUUUAGGUUUAUUAAAACAAUGCUUUUGGUCUACAAAAUUCAAAAAAAUAGGUUCGAGAGUCGGUUACGCACGAGGAAGGAUUAGCACCCUCGUAACGCCUAAAAUUGGUACCUAGUUGAUUAAUUAAUGUCUUAGUGUCGAAGAUUGAAAACUUUGAAGAAUUUUAAAAAUACGAUCCUAAAAAUUUUCGAACAAUAUGGGUUGGAAUUUAGGAUUCUCUUGUUCCGAAAGAAUAUCACAUCUAGCACAUUAGGAUGCGAUACUUUAAACUGUCGAAACCAAUAUCACCUUAUGGUUUCCAAAACCCAUACUUUGAAACUUUAAGAGGGUAUUUGGAUAUUUGGCUUUUAUUCAAAAUGCAAAAAUCAACAAAAUAUUCAUUAUCGCUCAACUUAGCAUAAUUAAACAUUUAGGUGUGGAAAUCAAAUCACAAUUUGAGUAGCUAAACACAUCGCUUGAAAAUGUGAUAAGUAAGAAAAUUGCCCACAUUUGAGUAGCGACAGGUGGUAAUGCAUUUCCCAACAAGAGAAAACCAAGCUCUUCGCCAGUAUGGAUUUAUGUAGAGGACAACAAAAAUUGUCAACGACACAACUACAUAAGAAACCAAAAAGCUCACACAAAAAUCAUAAGUAUCUAUCAAACCAUCUUCUCCUUUAUCUUCUGAUACAGUUGAUAUUGUUGAUGGUGAAUCGGUUUUGGAACAACUUUUAUGCAGUAUAGGUCCACAAAGAAAAGGGUUUCCUUCAUAACUGUUUUCAAUAAAGGUCCCAAAUUGAGCUUUUGGUUCGGGAAUACUACCAGACAAGUUGUUGUAUGCCACACUAAAAACCUCCAAAGAGUUCAACUCUACCAACUGAUUGGGGAUUUCACCACUCAAGUUGUUGUAAGAAAGGUCCAAACUCUCAAUUUGAUGAAGUUUUGCAAAUGACGAGGGUAUAACUCCGGUCAACUUAUUGUGUGAAAGGUUUAAAGAAUAGAUUUCACUCAAGUUCCCUAAUUCUGAUGGGAUAUGACCAGUUAAGUUGUUGCAAGAUAAAUCAAUCCCGGUCAUAUAUGAAAGGAUGUUGCCCUCGUACAAAAAGAGCCCACUCUUUGUUGUGAACUCUAUUACUUCUUCUAAGUAGCUAUCAGGAUAGUAAGAAUCCAUUCCAAAAUUUAGUGUUGUUUCAUGCUCUUCUAUAGAUGGCCCAUAGAACCCAAUUUCUAGAAUCUUCUUCCUUUGCAUUGGAAGAGAUAAAUUUCCCAAACAAGAAGGUAUAGGACCAGAAAACAUAUUUUGAGAAAGAUCUAUGAUGCUUAAAGAAUGCAACUUGCAUAACUCAACAGGAACUUUACCAUGAAAAUGAUUAUCUUUCAAGAGAAGAACACUCAAAGAAGAAAGCGUGUAAAUCCAUUUUGGAAUACUACCUGUCAAAUUGUUUCCUCUAAGAUCUAAAGUCACUAUUGAAGAGCUAUUAUAAAAAGCAAGUGAUAGUGGGCCUCUCAGUCUAUUCCCGUGGAGGUGGACA
This 65238-nucleotide long non-coding RNA is filed under the name Gossypium barbadense (sea-island cotton). RNAcentral describes it as "long non-coding RNA (GBAR_LNC013892)". Lineage: Eukaryota; Viridiplantae; Streptophyta; Magnoliopsida; Malvales; Malvaceae. The record is from RNAcentral.